This 61126-nucleotide transfer RNA is filed under the name Pseudomonas phage phiMK. RNAcentral's name for it is "tRNA-Gly". The stretch from base 90 to 162 matches the Rfam family "tRNA". Lineage: Duplodnaviria; Heunggongvirae; Uroviricota; Caudoviricetes; Vandenendeviridae. The record is from RNAcentral.
AAACAAUGCAUUUGAAGCUAACUAGGUAGAAGCGCUGGGUUGAAAUUCCAGAGGACUUGGAUCGUUACCAAGCAGAUGCACCAAAUAAAGCAGUUAUAGAUUAAUUGGUUAAAUCGCCAGACUUUCAAUCUGGUGUUCCGGGUUCGAUCCCCGGUAACUGCUCCAAUCAAGUCCAAGCCGGAACAUUCCUCCGUAUGUGCUUUCAGCCGGCUUGGCAUUAUUCGUGUGGAGAUUGUGUAGCCCGGAUGCUGCCUUUCGGUUGUGACCCGAUUGUUGGGGUUCGAGUCCCCGCCUCCAACCAAUGUCGUGCAAUGGUAUAUCGCGUUGACGCUUUUAGGCUCUCUGGAUCGUAAGCCAGUAAAGCGAGAAUAGCGGGCUCUCGCAGCAGAGCGAUAGGUGGUUCGAUUCCACAACAUGACACUCUUUCCUCCUCGCCUGUGCUGAACGGUUUCCUCCUCCUUUCCCGUCUCACAGGCUCUAUUCCCUGCCCUUUAAGCAUUUAUGGUGAUGCACCGGCUUUGUAACCCGGCGAAUUCUGUUCAAGUCAGGAAUGGGGCACCAAUUCACUAUCAAAGAACCCGCAAGCUCCCGAUAGGGUUCACACUCUAUAAGGUUGUAGCAUGGAAAACACGCAGGUUCCUGAUAAAAAACUCGGACCAAUCGCGCUAGCGCUUAAAGAGGCCAGAGAGAAUUUCGAUCUCAGCCCUCAUGUUAUUGGUCCAAAAUCUUUCAAACAGAAAGAGUUCACAGACAGCGAUGCAAAGAUCACUGUAUUCGGUGGUGCUGCUGGUGCUGGUAAGUCUUAUCUCGGUGUAAUGGACUUCAUGAAAUAUAUCCAUGAUCCUAACUUCCGAGGUGUAAUGACUCGUCGUACUACUCCUCAGAUUAAAGGCCCGGGUGGUCUGCUUGAAAAAGCAACAGACCUAUUCAAGCUCGUUGACCCUAAAGUCAAGUGGAAAGACAAAGACGGUAAGUUUGUGUUCUCUUCUGGUGCAGUUAUUUUCCUUCGACACUUCGAACAAGAAUCUGACAAAGACUCCUUCCAAGGUUGGGAGGUUAGUAAGUUCCUAGUCGACGAAGGUCAGCAGUUCACAGAAGGCAUGGUGACAUACCUUAUCUCUCGUAUGCGUAACCCGAAAUGCUCGGUUGUUCCGCACAUGAAGAUUACAUGUAACCCUGAUUAUAAUUCGUUCCUUCGUAAAUGGAUUGAAUGGUGGCUAGACCCUGACACAGGAAUCCCGAUCCCUGAGCGCUCCGGCGUAACUCGCUGGUUUGUACGCAAAGGCGGUAAGAUGUUCUGGGGAGACACCAAGGAAGAGUGCAUUGCCCUUCAUGGUAAUCCCAGUCUAGCGCCUGACGAUGAAGAUCAGGUGAAGCCUAUCAGCUUCAAAUUCAUCGCGGCUAACUGUUUCGAUAACCCAAUCUUGAUGCUCAACGACCCUGAGUAUGUAGCUAACCUUGAAGCCCUUCCUAGGGUAGAACGUGAAAAGCUCCUAGACGGUAGCUGGCACGCUAGAGAAGAGGGAGCUGGAUACUUCACAAGGGAUUGGUGUCAAAUCGUUCCCCAUCCGCCUCUACGGGUGCUUAAAAGGGUACGUGCAUGGGACAUCAGCGGUAGCAUCGAAUCCGAAACCAACAGAAACCCCGACUGGACAGCCGGCGUGCUGAUGAGCCGUACAAAAGAAGGCUUGUUCACUGUCGAGGAUGUUGUCAGAGAGCGUAGGUUGUUCGGAGGUGUUUUCGACCUCAUUCUAGAAACAGCCAAGCAAGACGGUCAAGACGUUGAAAUUCAAAUCCCAUGUGACCCGGGUGCUGCUGGUAAAGCUUAUGCUGCCCAGCUAAUUAGAGACCUAGCGGAUCAUGGAUUCCACGCCAGACCGAAGACAACUAACAAAUCGAAAGUUACUCGAUUCGCCCCGUUCGUAUCCGUAGCUGAAACUAAAUCAGUGCAAGUCGUUGCGGGAGAUUGGAACGAAGAUUACUUCGAUGAACUUGAGCGAUUCGACGGAAGCAAGGCUAUCAAAGAUGACCAAGUUGACGCUACAUCAGAUGCAUUUAAUGCUCUAUCUCUUGGCAGCUUGAUUAUCCCUGAUUUCCUACCGCCUGAUAUGACUCAAUCCAACAAAUUCAAACUAAAUUAAUAGGAGGCGGCGAUGGCCGAGACUGAAAAAACAGCACCGGGUAUCCCGCGACUUCGCCUAGGCGAGAUUGGUAGUACAGGCCUUAAACAAGUCAAUGGUACUAUUCUGGAAGAACGCCGACCAGAACUUCGGUUCCCUAGGGCAUGCAGAACAUUCCAAAUGAUGGCGGAAGACCCUACCAUCAAAUCAGCACUCGAUCUCUUCGAAAUGAUGAUGAGCAGGGUUGACUGGGAAGUUGAUCUAGGAGUUGACCCCGACGAGGCUAUGAAGGCCCGUGGUAAAUUCCUGAAAGAGUGCAUGCAUGACAUGGAACACAGUUGGUACUCCUUCAUCAAAGAGGUCACUAGCUUCUACACCUACGGAUUCUCCGUACAUGAAAUGGUGUUUAAGCGACGUGAAGGAUACCCUGUAUCGAAGUACAAUGACAACAAAUUCGGUAUUAAAAAGUUGCCAAUCCGCUCUCAGUCUACUAUCACCAAAUGGUUGUACUCUGAAGACGGUAGAAACUUCCUAGGGUGUGAGCAAAGUCUUGCCAAUGUUGUCAAUGGCGACCGUUACGUCAACCUAGGUAAUAAGGACGGAACUGUAGAGAUUCCAGCUAAGAAGAUGCUUCUUUUCCGGGUCGAUGCUAAACGUGACAGUCCUGAAGGUAACAGCCCUCUCCGUGCGUGCUAUAACGCUUGGAGAUAUCGAGUAGAGAUUGAAGAGCAAGAGUCCGUUGGCGUAACACGCGAUAUGAACGGUAUGCCUACGCUCUAUCUGCCUCCUCGAUAUAUGUCCGAAGAUGCUACAGAAGCUGAGAGUGCAGUCUACGAAUACUACAAGCGAGUAAUUCGUAACAUUCAAAUGAAUGAACAAUCUGGACUUAUCCUUCCUCAAGCGUUUGACCCAGAAAGCCGACAACCUCUGUUCAAAUUCGAACUGACCUCUUCGCAGGGCAGUAAGAUGUAUGAUACAGAUGCCAUCAUUCGUCGCUGGGACAACAAAAUUCUGCAAGCCUUGUUUGCCGAUAUGCUGAAGAUGGGUCAGGACCAAGUUGGCUCUUACUCUCUAGCUGGUGCCAAGACUAACAUCAUGGCUAUGGCGAUUGAAUCGCGGCUCCGCGAAAUCAAAGACGUACUAGAUAAUAAACUCAUUCCUACGCUGUUCGCACUGAACGGUGAUUAUAGUCCAGACUUGCCGAAGCUGCAAUACGGUGAGCUAGAUGAAAUCGAUCUUGAAGAGUUCUCGAAAGGGAUUCAGAGAAUCGGUUCUGUCGGUGGUCUUGAACGUGACCGUGAGGUUUACAACAAGAUUCGCAAAGCUCUCAAGAUUAAGCCUCGACCAGAUGACGAACCUGUUGAUGUGGAUAACAUCAUGGGAGGUCAGUCUCAAGCAGGUAAAGCAGGACUAGGUAAUGGUGCAUCAACAUCCGCAGCCGGCAGAGACAAUGCUGCUGCAAAUAACGCAUAAGGAGACAGAAUGCUGACUCUUGAAAGUGUUAUUGAAGCUCUCAGCAAUGCUUUCGGGGCUCCCGCUAAGGCGGAGAAAGUCCCGGCUGUAGAGGUUACAAAGUCCCUAGAUAAUGAGAAGAGGAUGGCUUUGUUUGUCGUUCUUGAGCCCCAAGAGGGAGACUCCACGACUGACCUCCACGCAGACACAUAUUCCGAAGAGGAAGUAGAGAAAGCUUGCAUCAACUUCAAUACUCAUUGCAACGUAGCUAACAUCUUCCACAAGAUUGAAACACAGGAAGCUGAGAUUGUCCAGUCCUUCAUCGCUCCAUCCGCAUUCACAACUGACGACGGAAGAGAGAUCAAGAAAGGUACAUGGCUCCAGUGGUGGCACUUCCCAGAAGGCUCUGAAGUAGCCGAUACACUAUGGGAAGGUGUUAAAUCUGGUGAAUUCACAGGCGUCUCUAUCGGUGCCAGAGCUACAGUCGAGGAUAUCGAAUGACCGUAAAAGCAAAACGCAAACUGACCGAUAUCAAGUUUGAACACGAAGGUGCUCAUGUCGCUCUGGUCAGUAAGCUCCAAGGUGGUGCAGCCAACGGGCACACUACUCUAAUCACAAAAGCUACCAAUGGCGUAACUGAAGAGCUUAUCGAUAAAGCUGCUGAAGUUACAGUCACAAUGCAAUUCCCUGAAUUCCUUCGUAAGUUCUUCGGGAUGUAUUAUGACGAUGCCGAAGUUCUCUCUGUUGCCAUGGGAUAUGGUAGAACGGAGUAUCCAGAACUAGAUCACAAAGACUGGAUCGACCAGAGAGUCGAAUCUAUGUCUAUUCUCAAGUCGGUUUACAAAUCGGCUGACCUGAAUAAAGCUCUCUCCGAGCUUACCCCUGAGCAGGCCCUUUCCCUUAAACAGGAUCAGGAGCUGCUUGAAAAGGCUCUGGAGGUAGUCUCCGAGCAAUCCAAUGAAAAUCCAUCCAAGGAGAUUACCAACAUGGAAACUAUCCUGAAAUCGGCCCACCUAGAAGCUCUAGCUGAUGCUGUUGCAGUUGAAAAAGCUGCUGGUGUCGCUGCUGUUGCAGAAGUUCAGAAGCAACUAGACGCCGCUAAUGUAGAGCUUACAGCUCUUCGUGAAAUUGUCAAGGCUGCUGAGGCAGAGAAAACCGCUGCUAUCGCUAAAGCCCGUAAAGAGCAACUGGCUGAAGUCCUCCCGGCUGACCAAGUAGAAGAUACUUUCAAGUCUCUGGAAGUUCUGGAUGAUCAAGCUUUUGCACAAACAGUAGGAACGCUCCGCAUUCUUAAAGCUGCUGCUGACCAAAAUGACAUGCUUGUCGAGAAAGGUGUAUCGGGCGCUGGGGAAGAAGACGACUCUGUUGUCGCCGGUGUUGCCGCUAUCCUGAAAGCUCGCCACGGCUCCAAGUAAUAUCUAGCCAAUCUAGAGGAAUUCCAAAUGGCUCAAAACAUUAUCGCAAAAGAUCAUCAGCGUCUUAGCAACUGGCUGAAAGAAGAACAAAUGGGCCACCGUGGCCUGUUCUACACUCGCGAAACUCUGCCUGUCGCUGACAUUGAUGUUAAAACAACUGGUUCUGUCCUAGACAGCACUGGCAAGCUGGUAACUAAGGCUACUAUCGCCGACGCUACCUACAUCCUAAUUACCGACCUGCACGACUAUGCCAACGCUCAGAUGAGCCACGCUGUCGUCCUUGCUCGCGGUUUUGCCAAGAUCGGCUCCAAGGCUGUUAUCUUCGGUGCUGACGUUGACGACGCUGAUAAAGCUACCGUCUUUGAAGCUUUCAAAGCCAAGAACAUCUUCGCCGUUGACCAGAUCGAAGGCGCAUUCGAGAACGUUACCUUCGCGUAAGCGAGGGUCGUUCCAGUAAAUAAAUACUAGGAGUAACUUUAAAAUGGCUAACACCCGUUCCUACCUAAACGAUGGUCAGUUCUACAUUGCCGACCAGACUGAAAACCUGCUUAUCAUCCCGAACACUUGGACCCUCGUCGAGAACAUGGGCGUCUUCACAAGUGAAGGUGUGACUCAGAACACUGUCCAGUUCGAAGAGAUCGAAACUCGCUACGGUCUGGUUAAGGAUGCCAUCCGUGGAACUCGUCACCAAGUUGCUAGCGACCAACGUCGUCAACUGCGUGCCUUCGCGAUUCCGCACUUCAACCAAGACGACUACAUCACUCCAGAAGAUAUUCAAGGUAAGCGCGCUUUCGGUGCUGACCGCGAAGAAACUCUGAACGAGGUUCGUGCUCGUAAGCUGGAAACCAUCCGUCGCAACUGGGCUAACACCGCUGAAGUUGCUUCCGUUAGCGCUAUCGUAACUGGUAAGAGCUACGCCCCAGCCGGAACCAUCGAGUACGACUGGUACGACCUGAUGGGUAAAACUCGUAAGGUUGUCGGCUUCGACCUGACCAACCCUACCGCUGACGUUAUGGGCAAGACCGAAGAAAUCUUCGUCCAUAUGCAAGACAACAGCCAAGACGGUCUGAUCCGUGGUGACUUCGUUGCCCUGUGCUCUCCUGAGUUCUUCACUGCCCUGAUUAACCAUCCGAGCAUCAAAGAGUUCUACAAAGCUUACCAAGCUAGUCCUCAAUACUGGCGUGAACGUCUAACCGCUCGCGGUCUGGACCUUCGCUUCCGUGAGUUCUACUUCGGAAACAUUCACUUCAUCGAAUACCGUGGCGUUGACCCGUACGGCAACCGUCUGAUCCCGGCUGGCGAUGCUUACUUCAUCCCAACCGACAGCGGUGACCUGUUCGCUCGUUACUUCGGCCCGGGCAGCACUUUCGAUGACCUAGGAACUCUGGGUAAAGAACUGUACGCCACCGAGCGUAUGGCUGAAGACCGUCGUUCGAUCCUGAUCGAAACCGAGUCCAACUUCAUCCACGUUCUGCGUCGUCCACAGAUGAUCGUUCGCGGCACUGUGAAUGCGUAAAGACUUCAGGGAGGCUUCGGCCUCCCUUUCGUCGUAGGAGGGUACCAAAAUGGCUUACACUGGUGAUCCAGCAAACAACCCUAUCGACCGUCUACGAGAGAUUGUAGGGGACGUGUGGGAGCCUCCGAUGCUUUCCGACGAAACCUAUCAAUGGGUGUUGGACAAGAACGAAGGCAACGAAAGACGAUCCGCACUUGAACUUAUGCGUAUGAUGCUCUUCCGCCUGACAAGGGGAAUGAGAGAACGCACAGGUGAUAUCGAAGUAUAUGGUGCUGAGUAUUUCAACAACUACUUGAAAGCUCUUCAGCUCAUUCUCAAAGACCCGAAUAUUGCAAUUUCUUUGGCCGUGCCAUAUGCUGGCGGUAUCUCCAAAUCGGAUAUGCUGGCUAAUGACCUAGACCCCGACAACGUAACACGGGAAUUCUACAUCGGUUUUGCAAGACGGGAGAAGCUUUACAACCAGUGCAACCCCGGUCCUCAAGACCUUAGCAUGGGGUGUGAUUAUCUUGGCAAGCUUCAGUUUUAAAACAGAUCGCCGUCGCCUCACAUCCUUGAUUAAGAGGGUGGAGGCUCUAGACGGAACAACGGUAGAAGUUGGUUUCUUCCCCGAGGACCGAUAUGGUUCUGAAAAUGGAAACCUACCAGUUGCACAAGUUGCAGCUUACAACGAAUUCGGUACUACUCGCAACCCAACCCGGCCAUUCAUGGCUCCAACCUUUGAAGAAUUCACAUCUCAAUUCCACUACGCAAGACUAAUGAAGUCCACGUUCGAGAACGUCCUACGCGAUGGAAGGCAGACGAAUACUCUUCUGAAGAAAUUGGGUAAAAUGGUUGCAGAGCAGAUGCAAGUUAACAUUGACGACUAUCCGGGCUCUAACAGUCCAGCAUGGGCAGCUUACAAAGGAUUUAACGAUCCUCUAUUCCAUACUGGAAAAAUGCUUGAGUCUGUCAAGUUCCAAAUCCAUCGGAGGCAAUAAUGCUCUAUCCUACCUUCUCCAUGACCAACUUCGUCAAGCUAGAUUUGAUUAGAAGAGGGCAGCCCGGAGACGACGGUUUUGGAAGACCUACCCCUCCAGUUGAGACAGUAGUAACAAUCACAGCUAACGUUCAACCUAUCGAAAAAUCGACAGACACUCGUAUCCUUCCAGAGGCCGACAGAAGCAAGGCUUGCUUCAAGGUGUACUCCAGAGGCGAAGAGAUUCGCCAGUUAAAGGAAGGCCCUAAUGGGUGGAGUGCAGAUAGGUUUAUUUGGGAAGGUGAGUUGUACGAGGUGAUGAAAGUCAUCAACUACUCGAUGGGCAUCCUAAACCAUUACAAAGCAAUUUGUAUGAGAGUAGAGAGGAAUAGCACAGCAUGAUCCACACAGAGCUAGAAAACUCCCUCUAUCUUAUGAUCAAAGAGUUGUUCCCGGAUUGGCGUGUAAUUCAAGCUUACACGAAUAAUCAGGAACCACAAACCCCUUAUCUGGCUAUCGACAUUAAGAGGCUGGAUGAACUGGGAAGGGAAAAUGUCUCCAAUAUGAGCGAUCCCAUUAGUCCUUCGCAUGGAACUAUUCAAGUUCAACAGGACUUCGCAGCCAGAGUCGUAUUCGAACUAAUUGGCAAGUAUGGAGAGACAGCAAGUGUCUCUGACAUGGCAAUGGCGAUUACUCGGGCAAUGCGUACUCCAGCAGGACACGCUGCCCAAAGAAAGUUCAAUCUAUCCCUUUUCAAACUCCCUAGCACAAGACGAGUUCCUAUGCUACGAGAGACAGAUAUGUACAUGUACUACCAAGUGACAUGUGAAUUUGGAUUCUCUGUAGUUGAGACUAUAACUCACGAGUUUGCUGCUGGGGCUGAUAUUCACGGUGUCUACUAUGAUGCCGGUCGCCCGGGUCACAUUAUUGAGUCCCAUAUCGACAUAAAUUUCGAACACUAAUAGGAGACAGGAAUGACUGUUCUUACUGAUGUAAUUGACAUUCAGAUCAGCCGUGAGACUGCUGCUGUCGCACAGACAAACUUCAACGUUCCUCUGUUCAUCGCCUCUCACACAAACUUCUCUGAAAGAGCCAAAGUUUAUAACAGCCUGAAGGGUGUUGCUGAAGACUUCGGGGAAGCUGAUCCUACAUACCUCGCUGCUGUACGCUACUUCGGGCAAGCCCUGAAACCGCGUAGCCUAGUUAUCGGACGCAGACAAGUUCCUUCUGCCACCGUUUCUGUCAGCGUCGUUCAAGAAGGACAGAGCUAUGUUCUGACCAUUAACGGACUACCUGUCAGCUACGUUAGCCAGCAAGCUGACACUGCCACCUUGAUUGCAACUGGCCUAAAAGCUGCAUAUGAUGUUACCCCUGUUGUUGGCGUUACCGUAACUGACAACGAAGACGGAACUCUGACUGUCGCUUCGAACGAAGACUGGAGCCUGAAAGUUUCUUCUAACCUGACAAUGGCCGCUGCUCCUUCUACUGAAGGCUGGCCGGCAACUAUCACUGCUGUUCAGGGAGAAAACGACGAAUGGUAUGCACUGAGCAUUGACAGCCACGCUGACGAUGAUAUCAUGGCAGUAGCUACUCAUAUCGAAGGGACCAAGAAAGUGUUUGUCGGGGCUACUGCUCAGGCUAAUACCAAAACUUCCGCAGACAACGACAUUGCUUCGCGUCUAGUCGCUGGUGGGUUCCAACGUACGGCACUGAUGUACCAUCCAAACGCUGACGCUCAAUUCCCUGAGUGUGCUUGGGUAGGAUACCAACUGCAAGAGCAACCGGGUAGCAACACAUGGACCCAUAAAGCUCUAGCUGCCGUAGAUGCUUACCGUCUAACCCCAACCGAGUCUACCAACCUGAAGAACAAGAACGUUACCACGUUCGAGCGUGUUGGUGGUGUCAACCGUACAUUCGGUGGGGCUAUGGCCGGUGGUGAAUGGAUUGACGUAAUGAUCUUCGUAGAUUGGCUGGAAGCCCGCAUGACCGAGCGUCUGUGGUUCCGUAUGGCUAACUCCAAGAAAAUCCCUUACGACGCCGUUGGUGCAACAAUUCUGGAAUCGGAAAUCAGAGCCCAGCUUAACGAAGGAAUUCGUGUUGGUGGUCUGGCUGAAGCUCCGGCUCCUAAAGUCUUCGUACCUGAUGUUCUAUCCAUGUCUCCGAACAUGAGAGCACAGCGUAUCUUUGAAGGCAUUGAAUUUGAAGCCCGUCUGGCCGGUGCCAUUCACUUCGUACACAUUCGUGGAACUGUGACCGUCUAAGGACGGUCCUUCCCAUAAGGAGACUACUAAAUGGCUGUUCAACGUCUAGCUACAUUCUCUCCAGCCGAUGUUACCAUUGUUAUCACUCACCCUGCAACUGGUGAGAGCAUGGUUCUCGGUGGAUUCAGCGAAGACAGCAUCGUUAACAUUGAAAGAAACGCUGAUACUUACGUGAUGUAUACUGGAGCCGACAACACAUCGACUCGCGUCUACAACGCCUCUAAGUCUGCUACCCUCACUGUUAGCCUUCAGCAAACUUCGCCUUCGAACGACUUCCUGACUGCUCUUUACAACUACGACGACGCCCGUCGUUCGUCUGAGGGAUUGUUCACAAUCCAUGUUAAAGACAACUCUGGUCGUUCCGACUACUUCAGUGAUGACGCCUAUGUCGGUGUUGUUCCGGGUUCUAACUUCUCGAACAGCAUGCAGACACGCGAUUGGGUUAUUCAUGCACACAACCUGCAAACUCUAAUCGGCGGUAACGCCAAGCUGAGCCCGGGUGAUGCGGAUACUCUUCGUAACCUAGGUGUCACACUAGACCAGCGCUGGCUGUAAUAUAGCGCUUAUGCCACAUCGACGGGGAGCUGCCUUAACGGGUGGCUCCCUUUGUUGUUUCUGGAGGAUAGAAAUUGAUUACCACCUACUCGCCGCGUGACGUGGUUGUAACUCUCGCUGGUAUCCAUUCCGUGACAGGGUACGCAGAGGGAGAGUUUAUCAGAAUUGUAAAAGAUAUUAAGCCUUUCAUCAAGCACGGUUCGAUGGAUGGUGAAAUCGCAAGGGUCUACAACAAAGACCAAGGCUGGCGAGUAGAGUUGACAAUCAUGCAAUCCUCGCCGACCAAUGAUAUCCUUUCGAUGCUUUACAACGUGGACAUUGCAACCCGAAUGGGAAAAUUCCCACUGAUGAUUAAGGACACGAAGGGUUCUACAAGCUUCCUAGCUCUGACAGCAUGGGUGGAAGACCUACCUAGGGUAUCUUUCUCUGGACAACUGGAGACCCGCACUUGGAUUCUAGGGUGCUCUGAGGUCGCCAUGAACAUUGGCGGAAACGUCGAUCAAAGUUUGGUCGAGCAAGCUAUCCUGCUGGGAAGCUCUCUUCUGCCAGCCCUUACGCAAUUCGGAGGCUUCUAAUGGCUAACACGGUAUUGACAUAUAGCCCAUCUGAUGUUAAAAUUGUCCUUUGUGGGUAUGCUCUCACUGGUGUAGUUUCUUUCGAAAUGUCUUGGCUUUCGAGACCCUACACAAUGGUUCGAGGAAUCAGAGGGCACCACACCCGGGUCUUCAAUAGAGACCUUUCUGCGCAGAUUAGAAUCGAGGUUCUUCAGACUUCGGUGUCUAAUGAUGCAUUCUUCUCGCUAGUAGAGCAAGACCGAAGAACACAAUCCGCCCGAAUCACCUUGUCUGUCAAGGAUACCCACGGUAGCACCAUGAUGAGCACAGACAACGCUUAUGUCAAUGGCUACCCUAGCAUAACAUUCACCGAUGGAAUCGAGAACAGGGUCUGGACUAUUGAUGUUCUGGACUGGACCGAUGGCACGGUAGGCGGAAACCAGCAAGUCGGCUUCGACGUGUUCGGAACUGUUCAAGGCGCUCUUAGCUACCUCAGAUAAAUAAGGAGUAUUUAUGUUCGGAAACCAACGUACUGUCAUCCACAAUGGGACAGAAUACACUAUCAACCUUCUGCCAGCAACUCGCGGUAUCAGCGUACUGAAGCAGCUAACCAGCUUGCUGGGUCCAUCCCUUGCCAAGUAUCAAGCUGACCACGACUUCUCUGGAGCCAUGAAAGAACUGUUCGAUAACAUCGACAAGGUUCCUGUUGAGAAUUUGAUCCAGAAUCUGAUGCUGACAGUUUUCAAAGGUUCGAUGGCAAUCAAUUUCGACACCGAAUUCGCUGGCAAGUAUGACCUGCUGUACGCACUCACAAAAGACGUGAUCGAGUUCAACUUCGGCUCGGUUUUUUCUCUAAUCGGUUUCGCAGAGGCACCGACGGUAUAAAGACCGGGGAUGGGCAGUCCGAGACUUCAGUCACUACUGAUCGAGUUCAGAGUGAUCGGAGGGUUAGGGAGGCCCACCAGAAGUUCUCGCAGCAUUGGGAGAUUUAUGUGGCUAUCACUCACCCUCUCAAGCUAACGACGUAUGGGGAACUGAGUACAGUCCUCACUACAGAAGAUUUGUACAACAUCCUUGAGGUUAUAGACGUUCACGAUACUAUCACUCAAGUGGCAAAAGAACACGCAGAGGCUGAUAAGAAAUGAUUACAGAAAGGAUUGCCCAGCUAACUGGGGAACUUAAAUUUACAGUCGAUUCCCGGCCUCUCACUGCUUUUGACAAGAAGCUCGCUGGGGUCGAAGCCCGGCUAAGAGAAUUCUCCAAGCUGACGAACAAGCGGUUUGGAGUUAAGCUAACUCUAGAUACAAAAACUCUGAGAGAGGAGCUUGCCAAGGCAGCCACUCAAAGGGUAGUCUUGAAGAACAUCGCGGUAGAUGCUGCCGCUGUUCGUCUUAUCUCUGAGAAGCUUCAAGAAAGACUGAAUGCAACGCCGAUCAGGUUGAAGUCUGUUAGGCUAGACCUUAGCGGUAUCCGAGAUCAGAAAAACUUCGUAAAGACGGCUCUCGGCCAGACCAAGGUCGAUCUACCGGUUGAACUGGGCUUGGCUCAGGCUAGCCGUACGCUGUAUGAAUGGAAGAAGCGCACAGAGAGUCGUUUUAAAAUUCAUCUGAAUGCAGACAUUAGCCGCUCUAAAUUGCUCCAGAAUGCACGAAACACACUAAGGGAUGUGCAGGGUAGGCUAAACGGUCUUGCUGUCGCUACGCCUCAAAUUAGGCUGUCUGUAGACCGUGCCCAUCUUCGUAGAGAGAUUCAAGAUGUUCUUGAGCAAAUCAGACGCGAAGUGAGAAUCCGCAUUGACCUAGAGUCUUCCAUCCGAGGAGGUGGUGCAGGUGGAUCGAGAGGUACUGCCGGCCAUAUCCGUCAAGGUAUGGGAAUGGGGAUUGGUAGCGAGCUAGCCGGGUGGGGACGCGGGUUUAUUCCCGGCCUUGGUGGUGCGUUCGCUAUUAUGCAGCUUAACCGUGCUAACCAAGAACUGCAAGGUCAACGUCUGGCCAUGCAAGCUGUCGGUGGUGGAGUACAGGGUGGUCAAGAGCUACAAGCCACCCUCCGCGAUAUCUCUCAGCGUCUCGGUCUUGACGAUAGAGCAAUAGGUAGCUCCUAUGUUAAGAUGAUGGCUGCCGGACAAGCAUCCAACUUCGACAAAACACAGGUUGAUGGCAUCUUCCAAUCCAUGGCUGAAUAUGGACGAGUGAUGGGUCUGGACGGGGAGGCUAUGAAAGGCUCCUUCCGUGCCGUAGAGCAGAUGAUGGGUAAAGGACAGAUCAUGUCCGAAGAAUUGAAAGGUCAGUUGGCCGAAAGAUUCCCCGCUGCUGUAGCUCUGAUGGCUAAGUCUCAAGACAUGACUAUCGCAGAGCUAAUGAAAACCAUGGAGAAAGGGGAGCUUAAGAGUGAUGCUCUGAUCCCAUUCGCCAGAACUCUAGCGGAAGAAGCUCGUAAAGGUGGCGCUCUGGACGCGGCUAUGCAAGGUACAGCCGCUCAGCAGGGCCGAUUCCAGUUCGGAUGGAACCGCACUAUCGAGGCCUUCGCGGCUGGAGGAUUCGACCGAGGAAUGAGCGACUUCUUCAAGAUUGCUGCCCAAGGCAUGAAAGAAGCGCUUCCUCUGGUAACUGCACUUGGUGGCGGGUUCGAAGCUCUUAUGAGGCCUGUCAACGCUCUGGUCGGUAUUGGAGGGGAGCUUGGUUCCCAGUGGGAGAACAUUGCCAAGCAGUUCAACAUGACCGGCACAGGGCUGACUCUUACCACGGCUCAAACCCUAGCCUUGCUGACCCCUAUGGGCAGGUUGAUCUCUGCUAUUAGCUGGGGUGCGUUGGCACUGGAAGACUUCAUUGUCUUCUUGGAAGGCGGUGAUUCGGUGUUCGGGGACUUCUUGAACAACAACGUACAAGCUGCCGAGACAUUCGAAAAGCUAGCCAGUGAAUCCAGUGAACUGAAGAACAAUCUCGACGGUAUCUUCUCUGUUGUCCCGGGGCUAGCUGAAGCGCUCAAAGGUCUAGAGUUCAAUGAAAUGCUGGUCAGCACGAUGAGAGAACUUGCUGCCAUCAUGGAGUUCUUCAACAGUGUUGUAGAGAGAUUCGCAAUAGCCGGCAAGUACAGGGACGCUAAGAUUGCUGAAGCCGGAGGAGACAGAAGUACUAUAAUGUCGAACAUCGACACGAUGUACGCUAUGUUCAAUCCGGAAGAUGCAAAAGACAAGGCCACCUUCAUCGGUGACAGGCUAGUAGCUCAGAACAUUGACGCGAUCCAGACAGAGACUCAUACCCGUGCAACCCAGUCCUUGACUCCAGACCAGUUUGGGUAUAUGAUGCAACGUGGUCAAGUUAGAAACGAAAUGGAGGGUGCCCUCAAGAAGAGUGCCAUUGACAUUAGUUUCAACCUCAAUGUUUCUGGUAUCGAUGCUCAGGGUAACGUCAUGACAACUGAAGCGCAAGAGCGAGUACGAGAGAUCGUUAGUAACGUUCUUGAGGAAGAAAUCUCCAGAGCUUCGGCAAGUUAUAAGGAAUCCCAAUGACAAUUGCUAUCAAAAGAGAGAACGGAGACCUAAUCUGGUUCGACGCUGUUACAGAGUUCGGAAGACAGUACCGUGGCUCUGUGAGUUCCAACCCAAUCGAAACGGGAGGAAAAAUCACAGACCACAUUACCACAGAAAACCCAGUCUUCACUCUUACAGCCGUCGUAUCAGACGCAGACUUCAACUUGAACAGGCCCGUUAUCAACGACAACGAGGCCCAGACAUACAAGAUCAACAACAAAGAGUUCGUGAAUACGCAGCCGGUAACCAUCCCGGCUGUUAUCUCAACCUCUAGACUAGACCCUAGCAGAAUCUUUCCAGAAGUUAUCACUCAGUUUAUUCCUCCUGAGAUUCCUUCUGCAACUGUCCUCCCUCAAAAGGGUGAUAAAGUCGCUUAUGAUAUUGAGCGCCAACUGAUCGACAUGCAGCGUAACGCUGAGGUCUUCAGCUUGCUGGAUUUCAGAGACGGUAUUAUCUGGGAUCAAAUUGAGCGGUGCAUCUUUACCGACUUGUCCUUCAGCGAGAAUGCUGAAACUGGACAGAGUAUUCAACCUAGAAUGACUAUCGAGGCCGUGACAUUCACAGACACUCGCUACAUUGAAGUUAGGGUGAACAAGGGAAGAAAGACAGCCAAGAAGGAAAAGAGAGACACCAAAGACGGUGAUACAGGGGCUAGUAACGCCACUGGACAAGACUCUCCUACAUUCAAGCGUAGCCAGAUGAAAGAGGCUCAAAUUAGAACUCAAGUUGCGAGGUGAUUAAUGAGCACGACUUACAUCGACACACUUCCUUUGUACCAAGAUAGGAAGUAUAGAUACGCGGUAGCUCUGGAGGGCAUUUCCCGUGUCCUCCAAUUUUACUGGAAUAGCCGCUCUCGGCAGUGGCACAUGGAUAUAUUCGACGAGGAACUUAACCCUAUCCUGACAGGACUGGCGGUUGUUCCACAAUACCCGAUAAUUGCAGAUUACGCGAUGCAGCACAUCGGGUUUAAUGGGUACUUCUUGCUCAUGCCUGUCAACCUAGAACAGGUGCAGUACAAGCACGAUGCAAGCGACAUUGUACCUCAGUUUUUUGAACUUCUGUAUGUUAAUGUUGAUUUGGAGGAAGAUGCAGAGUGAGACAAUACGACAGAGUAUAUAAAUUGACGCUCGGUAAUACUGAGUCUGGUCAGGGAGUAGAGAUUACAAACCUUCAUCCUGAUGGGAGUGUUAACAGAGAAGGACUUCAGUUCAGGUUUGAUAUCUCUAAAAGCUCCGAUAACAAAAAGAGCGGCAACUCGGCUACUGUUGAGAUAUACAAUCUGUCGAUUGCAACUCUAAACCUUCUUGAAACCGAAUACCUUACUUGCAGACUAGAAGUGGGGUAUAAAGAAGCUGGAACUUCCGUUGUUCUAGAUGGUAAUGUUGUCGAAACAUCCACAAGAAAGAGUGGAAACGAUUACGUGACUCAGCUUAUUCUUGGUGAGGGUUACACUGCUCUAACUGAGACUAAGCUUAAGGGCACAGUCUCUCCGGGUAAGACUGUAAAAGACGUUAUCGAAGAGAUUCGUCUACAGAUGCCGGGAGUCGAUAGAGGAGCCUACACAGGCCUCAACUGCAAUAACCCCAUCAUGUAUGGCUACCAGCUACGAGGCCUCGCUAAAGACGCCCUGAAUAGCGUGUGCGAGGCUAACAAUAUCGAGUGGAACAUCAGCGGCAACGUGUUAAACGUUACAGAUGUGAACGGCCCUACAACGAAGAGCGUUCAGAUGGCUCCACUGGUGAGCAAAGAGACUGGCCUAAUUGAUAUCCCAUUCUACGCCAGUGCCAGCGGCACGUCUCAGAAGAAAGACAAGCGACGCAGAAGAGGGGUACAGUUCAAGUGCCUCCUGAACCCAGAGCUGACCCCCGGCGUUAUUGUCAGGGUGGAGUCGGAAAGGCUCUCUGGCACGUUUAGAAUCAACAACGUCCGUAUUUCAGGCGGAUAUAGAGACAACGAAUGGUACACCGAAUGUUGGUGUGCUGAUCUUAACCAAGAGGAUAUAGACCAAUGAGGAGAACAGGCCUACAGGAGCUUCUAAACCUCCACUCGUCCACAGAAGGCUCUAAGCAGUACACAGCCAUCCCUUGCGUCGUCCUGCGCGUUCUGGACGAUUUUAGACGCCUCUCUGUCGAUGUUAGACCAGUGGUCAAUGACCUGUACAAAGACGGCACGUCGGAAGAGCAACCAGAGAUUCUAUCUGUCCCUGUCAUUAUGCCCGGAACGGCUAACACUCUUAUCAGCUUCCCAUUGAACGUAGGAGAUACUGUCCUGUGCGUUUUCUCUCAAAGGACUAUCGACGUUUUCAAAGGGAGUGCAACCGGUCAGCCGCAUACACCGAACGACCUUCGGAAGUUCAACAUGGCGGAUGCCAUCGCUAUCCCGGGGCUGUUCACAUUCCCCCGGUCGAUGAAUGACCCGUCUAGGCACAGUUGGCCACACGAUACAAAAGACCUGACAAUCGCUCACAACCUCAUGACAGGGCAGGAAGCUGAGGUCAGAAUCAAAGCCAAUGGAGACAUUCUAAUCAAUAGCCGUAAGACUAUAAGCAUCAAUGCUCAGAAUGUCAACGUUAAGUGUGCCUCCCUGACGGUAGAUGCAGCCCACACAACAUGGAACGGCAACAUUGCCCACACAGGUAAUUAUGUUCAAACUGGCGGCACUUCUACAUUCAAUGGUAUUCCAUUCCAUACGCACAAGCACGGCGGUAUUAUGCCGGGUAGUGGUGUCACUGCUGUGCCACAGGCAUAAGGAGAAAUCAUGGACCUAUUUGUCAACCCGGAUACUCACGAUCUCGUUUUUAUAAACGGGCAGUGUCCGGUAACUCAGAGGAUGGUGGACAUUGUUGCUCAACGCCUCAAGAUCAAACUAUAUACGUUCCUCGGUGAGUGGUUCUUGGAUGACCGUAUCGGCAUCCCAUACUUCGAGAGAAUCCUAGGUAAAUCGAGAAGCCUCCCGGCAGUUGACGCUAUCUUCCAAUCGGAGAUUAUGCGAGACCCGGGCGUACUUGAAAUUACAAGUUGGCAGUCGGGAAUCGACCCCCAUACAAGAGAAUACUCCAUGGAGUUUACAGUUAGAACAACUGACAACACCGAGUCUCUUCCAAUCACAUUCCAAAUGGUAGGAGUUUAACAUGGCUGGAAUUACGGCUGAAGGUCUAACGAUCAAAGACUUGGACCAAAUCCUGACCGACUAUAGAAACGUAGCGUCUCAGGUAUUCGCUGACCUAGUUUCCACAGGAGACGAGGUUGACACAUCGGGUAACUCGGCACUUGGCCGUCUUAUCGGUGUAGUUGCUCCAUCGGACGAGGCAAUCUGGGAAGUAAUCCAGAUGGUUUACAACUCGUUCAACCCCUCGGCUGCCACUGGUGUAGCUCUGGACAAUCUGGUAUCCUUCUCUGCGAUUAGCAGAUAUCCGGCUCGCCCUACCAGAGCACAAGUUAUCCUAGAGGGUAACAUCAACACAGUUAUCAACUCGCCUCCGGCUAAGAUGAUCUCCAGCUCGACAGGGCGAGUUUUCCACUUGCUUCAGGGCGUCAUCCUUAGCCCGAAGGGCUGCUCUGGUGUGGGAAUCUUCCCUCAGACCGUAGGGAAUAGCCUGACGUACGAAAUCAAGAUGUAUGUUGACGAUAUUAACACCACAUCGAUCAAAUACACAAGCCCCGCUUCCGGUACUGUAACCUCUGGUAGCAUUCUUGCUGGGCUGGCCGCUGAUGUAGCUGCUAAUCACGGAAAUACCUUGACAAGCUACGAGCAAAAUGGUAUACUUUUCAUAGUACCAAUCGAUCCGUUCAAUACCAAGACAUUCGAAGAGGUGAGCAACCUCAGUAUUCAGAAGGUUAGAAAGCUUGGUAUCGCCGUUGAUGACGUUAUUGGCCCCGUGCCUCAGCAAGCUCUAGCUAUCGAUACGAUCGUCAUCCCUAUUGCCGGAUGGGAUAGUGUUAUCAACCCUGUUCCAGCCAUCCCCGGCCGUCUGCGUGAGACCGAUGAUGAGCUUCGUGAGAGGUUCCGAAACUCUAAAUUCGUACAAGCCACCAACAUUCUGGAGUCCCUAAUCGACGGUCUGAUGAACGUAGAAGGAGUUGAGGACGUUAGGAUUAUCGAAAACGAUACCGACAACCCAGACCCAGUUCAUGGAGUCCCGGGUCACUCGUUCCUUCCAAUCGUUCUCGGUGGCAUUCCUACAGAGGUUGCACAGUCCAUUUGGCUGAACAAGCCAUUCGGGAUUGGUUCUGUUGGAGAUACAGAGGUUCAGGUGGUAGACAGUCUGGGAUAUACCCAUAGAGUCAACUACCAGCGCCCUGUCGAGGUUCCAAUAGAGAUCAAGAUCAGUGUAACAAACACAGGAUCGAUGCCCGAGAACAUUGAAGAUAUCCUACGGCCAAGGAUUGUAGCGUACGGAACUGAGAAUUACAAGAUCGGAGACGACGUAAUUUAUUCUCGAUUCUACGCCCCAAUCAUGGAAAUCCCGGGCUUCCAAGUGAACAGCCUGACGAUUGCUAAGAAAGGACAAACUCAAGGUAUGGCGAACAUCGAAAUCGGGUUCAAAGAAGUGGCUACAUUCGCCGCAGCAGAUAUCACCGUAACUACGGUGUAAUGAUAGAAGGAGAAUUCCAUGGCUGUCAACCAAUUUGACAGAGAAGAUUAUCUGGAGGUGGCCCGGGAACGGGUCACUGAACAGUUUAAAGAGAAGCCGAUCUUUGAUCGCUUCCUGCAAGUGCUAUUGUCUGGUAAGUUUGAUAUCCAGAAUGCACUGGAAGACCUCCAGACUCUCCGGUCUCUGGACACAGCCACCGGGAAGCAACUGGACAUUAUCGGAGACAUUGUAGGGCGACCACGCGGUCUAGUGUACCAAGAUAUUUUCAACUAUUUUGGAUUCGCUGGAACGGAGCGUGCAGGUUCUUUCGGAAGCCUGUCGGACCCUACGGUCGGUGCUCCAUGGUACUCGGUCGGUGCUCCAACUGGUAACGCCAGAGAGCCGAGCGACGAAGAGUAUCGGAUGAUCCUGAAAGCAAAGAUCAUCAAGAACAGAACAAACUCAACCCCAGAGCAAGUUAUCGAAGCUUAUAAAUUUGUAUUCGGGGUUCCUGAAGUAUUCCUAGAGGAGUACGCUCCCGCUGCUGUCCGUAUCGGCAUCGGUAAGAUUCUAACGAACGUAGAGCGUAGUCUUCUAUUCGACCUAGGUGGUGCAGGUGCAUUGCUUCCUAAGACUAUCGGGGUUAACUACACAUACACUGAGUUCCAAGCUGGCCGGGUAUUUGCUACAGAAGGCUUCCCCGGAGGACAAGGCGUUGGAGACCUAAACGAUCCCACUGUUGGUGGAAUUCUGACCAACCUAGUGACAUAAGGAGUUAUAAAUGGCUGAUUACAGUCAACUACCUAUUGAAAAUAUUUGGUCCACAGGCGGGGAUAUGGUAGCCCCGACCCCUGCGCAGCAGCAAGGCGGAUGGGGUAUUCAGUCGGUUCCUCGCCAAUGGUGGAACUGGAAAUGGAACCUUCACGAUACCAACCUAGCGUAUCUUCUACAGAAGGGUAUCCCGGAAUGGACCAGCACUCAAGAGUAUAUUGCAAACAAAUCGUUCUGCACAAGGGGUGGUUUCGUCUACAAGGCUGUCCGCACCCAUACAGGAAGUGACCCUGCACAAGUUAGUGCCAACUGGGUUCGAGCUUUCGCAGACUUUACCACAUCUAGCUCUGCACUUGGAAGCCUGACACCAAGAGAAGGUGGAAUCCCAUUCUUCAUUAGUGCUACAGGAGCUAGCGUGUUUGACUCUACGGCUUAUGGCCGUGGCAUGCUUAACGUGGCUAACGCAGCCGGAGCAAGAAACUAUAUCUCGGCUCAAGAAAGUUCUGUUGUACUGUCCAACCUGUCUACUGUGACUAGGGCUGCCAACGCGGUUCCGUACUUCAACACGGAUACCUCCAUGGCCACCUUCAACAUCACAGCGUUCGGAAGAGGACUUGUCAACGCGGGUGAUGCAUCUAACGCAAGAGCCUUCCUAGGCCUUGCUAACUCUGCUACUAUCACAGCAGACUCUGCUAACAGAGCCAACACUCUAGUUUACCGAGACGCAGCAGGUAACUUCAACGCUGGUGUGAUUACUGCUACCCUGUCUGGAAACGCAACAACAGCUAGCAAGCUUAGGGCUCCAGUUACUAUUAACGGUGUAGCAUUCGACGGAAGCCAGAACAUUGUUCUUCCGGGACUGGACACAAGUUACGCAGGGGUUGUAGCGAGGCUCCAUAUUAAUGGGGCUAACAUGACCGGAACAGAUAAGACUACCCAGCUAGCUCUUAGAAAUAAAUCCGAUACAGAUUGGAUUAGCUUGGUUACUCCUGAUGAUAGCUCGGUGGUGUUUCAAUUCAGAGGCCCAGAAGCGGCUAAUGCCUCUGUGCGGAUUAACUCUAAUGUCGUAUUCCACGCGGGGAACCAGUACGGACUAGGAGCUACUCAAACGCAAGCCAGAGAGCGGCUCUUGGUUGACAGACUGGCACAGAACACGACUCAGACUGUGCUGUACAACGCAGAUAAGAGCAGGUACUUCUGGUUGCAAGAUAACGGUGUUUCCGGUAUCUGGGACGCAACGACUAACACCCCUCUAUGGCGUUUUUCUAGACUAGGCCAGCUCGACUACGGAACAGUCCCUGUUGCACAAAUUACAGGAUUGGCCAACUCCGCGACAAUUCCGGCAUCCGCCUCCAAUCUGACUAAUCAGAUUGUUGUGAGGAGCGGAACAGGAGAUAUCGCAGUACAAGGCGUUACAGCGUUUGGCGCUGUUCUGGGAACAGACUAUAUUAGAGUAAGAGCCAGCACUGGUAACGCUCACCUAGUAUUCCAGAGGAAUGAUGGAGCAGAGGUAGGGCUUAUUUGGGGAAUCCCGUCUGCCAACUCUCUGAACUUCAGGACCGCAGGCGGUGCGACAGGCAUGUCUCUGGCUGGUCAGGACUUGACUGUAGUUGGCAGGGUGAAUGCUGCGACACUCAAUUCGUCUGGCAACGUCAACUCUGGCAACAGCGUGAUUGCUGCCGGGAACGUGCAGGCUGCUGGCCGUGUGUACUGCGGCGAUGCUUUUAUGAGCAGCAACGGCAACCUUACUGGCGGAGCUUUCGGCUCUUAUGGGACUCUUACCAACUGGGUAGACUCUGUAUACGCCAGAAAAACUGACGUAAUGACUGAUGCCCAAAUCUUGGCUGCCACUUCUAGAGGUAGUGCUCAGGCUGUUGGAACAUACGUCUUUGCGAUUGCAGCUAGCGGGAGCGGGGAUGUUGGGACUGUAGUAGCUGGUACGUCUCUAAGGUCUUCGUCUCCCGUCAACUACCAUGGAACUACGCUAUCCGGUAGCUACAGGUGCAUGGGUAAGUUCGGAGCCGGAGGUUCUAACCAGAUUACCUUGUUCCAGAAGGUUGCAGCUUAACAAAAUAGGCCCGUAAGGGCCUUUAUAACUGGAGGUGAUUUUAAUGGAAUUCAGAAACGUUGUAAAAAUUAAAGCGGGGUUCGAGUGCGAAAUAAACCAUCCAGAAUUGGGAUGGAUUCCUUACGGCGCUGUAGAGGGAUGCCCUACGUCUCACUCCAUGUACGUGAAGAUCGCCGCAGCGAUUGAAGAUGGCUCUAUGGAAGUGGUAGAAAAAGAGGACAAAUAUGAUGACUUUGAAGCCAGAUUGUGGAGAGACAACGAGCUAACCCGGGCUGACCGUCAAGUAGAGAUUGCUAUCGACGAUGAAGACGAAGUAAGAGAGAAGGCUUGGCGUAAGUAUCGUUCUGCACUACGUAAAUGGCCAGAGCACAAGAACUUCCCAUCCGAAAAGAGCAAACCUAAAGCUCCUAAAGAAUAAGGCGAGGUAAUAUAUGCCAAACAUUAUGAAGCCUACGGGUAUUAACGCUAUCUGGUCUGAAAACGGCCAGAAGGUUGACCCGGGUGCUGUAAAAGUUGGGCUUGGAUGGGUGACAGAACUACCUCCCUACCAAACUGCCAACUUUAUCGAGUACAAACAAGACCUGUUUAACGCUCACGUUAACCAACAUGGUAUUCCAGAGUGGGACAGCGUUACAGAGUAUCAGGGCAAUCUGAGCUAUACUCAGGGCGCUAACGGAGUUAUCUAUAAGUGCCUUAGGACUCACUCUGAUAAGAUUCCAACUGACCCUCUGAACAUUACAGCCGGAUAUUGGAGAGUGGCGUUUGAGGAUGCAGGGGAAGCGGCCAAGGUUCAAGCCAACCUAGACAAACACGUAACCAACUACAACACCCUCUCUGGGAUUGGCAACGUAGUUAUUGCAAGACAAAACCUAAGUGUGUAUAGUAAAGCUGAAGGCGAUGCCCGGUACGCUAUGAAGCACGGGAACGGCUCUAAUGUCUUCAGCGUUGCCACUGCCACACAGCCAACUCACGCUAUUCCUUUGAGCCAAUUGGCCACUCUCGUCCCUCCGGCUACAGAGACCGUUAGUGGCGUCAUGUCGAUUGCAACGACAAUCGAGACAGAGGCCGGCACUAAUGACGCUAAAGCUGUCAGCCCUCUGAAAGCCGCUCAAGUGUAUCUGAAAAAGAAAGAUAACCUAUCCGGGCUGUCUAACGUAACUGCGGCUAGAGCUAACCUAGGCCUAUCUGACACCGCUACAAUGCCUUCGGCUACGUUCCUGAAGGCUGCCAAUAACCUGUCUGAUGUUCCUAACAAGGCAUUGGCUAGGUCUAAUCUUGGAAUUACAAGUAGUGCUACCCAGCCGGAAACCUAUUUCUUGAGGAGCGCUCAGAACCUAGCAGAUGUACCUAACAAGGCACAAGCUAGAGUCAACCUAGGCCUCACUGGGAUGGCUACAACAGACCCUGCGGCGGUUAUGAUGAAGGCAGACAACCUUGCUGGAUUGGCUAACACUGCUACCGCUCGGUCCAACCUAGGGCUAGGCACAGCUUCUACUAGAAAUACAGGAGACUUCCUGUCGUCUGUGGCUAACCUGUCCGACCUCACGAACGUCCAAGCAGCUAGAAACAACCUAGGGUUGAAGGGAGCGGCUACGCUCGAUGUAUGGGGUCUUCCUGCGAAUACAACUGCUAUGGACUUCCAGUCUAAUCAGUCGGAUAUUUCCAGAGGAUGGGCUCGACUACCAAACGGCCUUCUGCUACAAUGGGGAACUGGUCCCGGUCUGUCUGAUGACACAAGGACGAAUAUCCAACUCCCUGUUCCAGCACGAAUCUUGAACGUUCAAGUGACCGUAAUGGGGACGUUUAACAACUCCAUCGGCCCGGGCGCUUUCAUGACGGAUAUGUGGAGCAACACCGGGUUUAGAGUUAGCUGCAACUGGGGCAACUGGUCUUACCCGUUCAACUGGUUUGCUAUCACUUCCACCCUGUAAUUCAGGAGUAUCAAAAAUGGCUCUAACUGAGCAAGACUUCCAAUCGGCUGCCGAUGAUCUAGGAGUCGAUGUUGCCAGUGUAAAGGCCGUCACUAAAGUAGAGAGUCGUGGGAGCGGCUUUCUACUUUCUGGCGUCCCUAAGAUUCUAUUCGAAAGGCACUGGAUGUUCAAGCUUCUCAAAAGGAAGCUAGGUCGUGACCCUGAAAUAAACGACGUUUGCAACCCUAAAGCUGGAGGAUACCUCGGCGGACAAGCGGAGCACGAACGUCUAGAUAAAGCAGUCAAGAUGGAUAGAGACUGCGCACUUCAAAGUGCCUCUUGGGGCCUAUUCCAGAUUAUGGGAUUCCAUUGGGAGGCACUAGGUUAUGCGAGUGUUCAGGCAUUUGUCAAUGCCCAGUACGCUAGCGAGGGAUCGCAACUAAACACUUUUGUGCGCUUCAUCAAGACCAACCCGGCAAUUCACAAAGCUUUAAAGUCUAAGGACUGGGCAGAAUUCGCAAGAAGGUAUAACGGGCCGGAUUACAAGAAAAACAACUACGAUGUUAAGCUAGCAGAAGCCUAUCAAUCCUUCAAGUAAAUCUAGGAAGGUUCCUAAUGAAGAAGCUAUUCAAAAGCUGGAAGUUCUGGGCUGCUGUAGGCUCUGCAACUUUUAUGGCUCUGGAAGCCAUGGUUCAUCUUUGGGAGCCUAUCCUUCCUCCCGGCGUGUUCGCCGCAGUAGCCACACUGGUAGCUGUUGGUGUGAGAAUUUCGGCAGUGUUUGUAACUGCUGGUAAAGUGGAGGAAGCGAUUUCGGAAACCAUAGAAGAUGGCUCAAUAGAAAAUGAUACUAACUAAACUCAAAAACUACGCCCUCGUAGUAGCUGCCGCAAUGGCAGCAGGGUUUGGAUAUCUGUCGUUCUCUUUGUACGGCGACUUAGCUGUUGCGAAGAAUGAUAUCCAAUCUCUUCAAGCUGCGUCUCGACAGAUGGAAGAGCAGUUCCAGAAAGAGCGAGCAGGGUGCGAGAUCACCACUGGGAGACUAGAGGCGCAUAUAGUCCAAAUGAAGAGCCGACAGGAGCUUCUACAAGGCCACCUGUGCGAGCUUGAGUCUCUACCUAACCCAACCCCAAGGGAGACCCAAGAAAAUGCCACAGAGACGAUCUCUGAGCCUUCUACUGGGGAUAGUCUGGACCCUGCUCUUACAAGCUUGCUCGACAGGGCCUUCUGUUCCGCAGUACCAAACGAUCCUUAUUGUGCCCCCGGCAAGCCUGACCGAGGAGGUUAAGGUAUACCGAGUGGAGCAAGAUACAGUCAAGGGGCUCGCUAGAGCUUACAUUCUAAAUACUAACAGUGCUGCCAUGUGCAAUAGUCAACUACAGACGAUAAAGCUAUGGGUAGAAGAGCAGAGGGCUCUGUAUGGAAAGUAAAGACGGCAAAGAAGGCCUAAUCAAGGUAGCUACACAGGGAGUUAUCUCUCUGCUAAUUGCUAUCCUAAUGGCUUGGUCUGGAUUCCUAAGUUCCAGUCUUUCUAAGCAGGAAGAACGUAUCUUUGCGAUGCAAAGAGAUAUGGUAUCCGAGGCAAAACUUAACGCACUAGAGUCGAGAUUCAAUAGCCGACUUGAAAGUGAAAUUAGUAACGUAAGAAGAGAACAACAAGAAACCAACCGGUAUUUGAUUUUGAUUAUGAAUGCCGUCAAGGGUCGGGAUACAGAAACUCAAUAACUAUAACCCGUUAACCCACACUGGGAGACAAUAUAAUGACAAGGAAACAAGACUGGCCGCUAGUUUCAGCAGUCGGGGCUUUGUUUAUCUCCCUCCUUGUCUGUAUGGCUAUUCUGGCUUUCACAGCGAUGACUCCCGAGGCUCGGUUUGACUCUGUACGCCAGACCUACGAGAUUCGAAUUAGCGAAUCUGAGCGGCGGUAUGAACUCAAACUGAACAGACUACAGGAUCAGAUAAACUCGGCCUCGUACACACAGGAUCGGCAAUCCCGUUUGCAAUAUGAAGAACUCGACUCGCUUAAAAGGAAGAUUAGCGAACUUGAGCGGAGAAUAAAAGAAAAACAAGAAUAAUUAAGCCCCGGGAGCGAAAGCUUACCGGGGCUCUUUGUUAUGACUGGGUUGCUUCCCACACUUCGUUAAACAGUUCGUCGAUUUUGGAGGAAAUCUUGGAUACCUUCUUUUUACGGAGUCGAUUAGCCUCUGGAUCGGAGUGAACGAGGCUCACGUCGCUAGCGUUUCCCCAGUCCAUUUCUCCGUUUUCGAACAGAACUUUAAUGUUCAGAUUAUUAGCUGCUUUGUCAAUCCCUGCGACAACUCCGAUCACCAUGGCGUUAUAUUUCUCGAAUGUGGGCCUUGGAUUGUCCAUAUUCAGGGAGUUCACCUUAACAACCUGACCCUUCUUAACGUCCUCUAGUUUCAUUUUACUACCUCCUCAGUCUAGUUUCAUUAGCGUAUUGAACUGAUACCUCAAAGACUUGAAAGCCUGUGGGCCAUCGUCCUCCGCUCCUUCAUGGAUAUGAUGAGCGAUCAAGUGUAUCAGUCCUCGGUCUCCUAGCAACACAGAGCUAGGAAUCUCUUUUAUCCAAGCCACAAAGCAACAGAAGUGUAGAACUUCCGGCAUGGAAGCCUUGAAGCUGGAAUCGUCCAGCUUCGACAGGCGCUCGUAAGUGGCUUUGAGGUCGGGAUAGCUUAACUGAUACGUAGCGUCGUCGUCAAUAUGCUGAUCCCCUCUAACUACAUACUGCAAGCUCAUAUUACACCUUCUUGCCGCCUUCUGCAAGACGUGCCUCUCGCUUAUGGUCCGCACGGGUCAUAUUGUACUCGAUCUUCUCGAUGAUCGCACCUGCAACAUCUAGACCUCGAACAUUAGCAUAGUCCAUGAUACGAAUGAUAGCGUCAGCCAGUUCCACCUCUUCCAUCUUCCGCUCUGGCAAGUGAUCGUCCAUCAAAUCCUUACGGACUCCUUCAGCCGCUUCGGCGAUUUCAGUGGUAACGAGCAUCAGCAUGUGCAGAGCAUCACGUUUAAUCGGCUCGCCUGUGACCAGAUCGGUGUUCCACUUGCGGUUAACAACCUCAAGACCAGUCAUCAUUUUGUUAAAACCGCUAACAAACUCGAAGACGGACUCUCGUUCGAAUAGUUCACCGAACGUUGGCUCUUGAUGUUCGGCAAUUGCAGUGUGGAAAGGCCACUCCAUCCAAGCGUCAUAGCACUUUUUGAUAAGCUCUUGUUCGUCAAUGUAUGAGAGGAAGUCCUUCUCUCCACCAAUCGCAUCAAUAACUUCAGUCUCCCCUUCCCAAGCACACUUAUCAAUAAGUCUCUGGUCGAUUCGCAGGGAAGUGCUGCCAACUUCUUCCCAUGAUCUCCAGCCUACUAUACCAUCGCCGAAGUACAGCAGGAUGGGUAGAUUGAAUCUCCGCUCUUCCUGCUCCUGAGACUCCAUAGCUACAACAAACGCCGGUACUUUUUCUCCACCUACGCCAUUGGCCAAGACGAAAGAACCUAAGUGAGUGGUUUCCCGGUUAGCUGGGCGAUGAGCUUCCUCGAUAUGGUCUUUAACUUUACUCAUUAACUUCGUCCUCCUCGCAAAACAUUUCAAAAUAACAAUCACAGCAUACCAACAUGCCGCCGUCAUUUACAAUUUCUUCGACCGGGAGAAUGCUUCCACAGCAUUCACACCCAGCCCGUUCGACAGCAUCUGCACAGGCCCAAUAGUCCAUCUUCACCCUCCUUCACUCCUCCUUCAGAAGGUACUCGUUGCUAAUAACCUUGAAACUAAAGUCUCGGCUCAUGCUUUUGAACACCAAACCUUCCCGGUACUUACCGUUCAACGCAGACUCUCCGCUAGCCAUUUCAAUUACAUCUUGCAUGUCUUUUGGAACGCCUACGUCCCACAUGUACACCGGCACAUGUUUAACAUCCUCUUCGCCGUCAUCAGCUAGCGCGUUCAGGAUUCCCAGAGUGGCCAGUCGCUCUUCUGGAAGAUAGUAACGACUCUCCGAAAUGUUGUAGAUAUCGUACACAUAGUAUUCCGGUUUGUCAACUCCCUCGAAGUUGCCUUGAAUAUUCGGUGCAACCAGUUCACCCUGAAGGGCGAUAUUUAGACCAAACUCCCGGAGACGUUCACCAAGAUUAAGCUCUUCUGCCAUCGCAGUGAAGUGAUUGGAGUCUUUCUUAAUAACACGCUUCCAGCCACGACCCUUAAAGAAGUUCUUGACAGCCGUGAAGAACCCGAUUUUCUCGUCUUCCAGACGGAAGCCAACAUUUCGGGAUGCGACGCCUACUUCUCCAUCCUUAUGCCAGAUAGUGAGAGACGAACCGUCCAGCUUGAAUGUCACUUCAAACUUCUCACCCUUCUGAUGAGCCUGAUCGUAGGCCAUUUUAAUAUUCUGCACGCGAGUCUGAUCCGUUUUCGGGAUGAAGUUAGGGAACCCUAGCUUGGAAGUGCCAGUUCGGUCGCCCUUGUUACCGCCAUUGAUAGCUGCCUGCUCAGACGGCUUUACAUAUUUCAGGAUGCCCAUUCGAUCAGUAACGUCUUCGUCUACUUUCGGCUCUGGACUGCCGGCUGAAUGAACAGGCACGAUCAGUCCUUGGCUAAGCUCUUUGCGAAGCUUCAUGGUCUUGAUUCGAGAAUACUCUUUUCCACCUUGUUCGACCAUAUUACGGCCACGCAGGAAUUCAAAGAUAGGGUUGUCUACAGGGACCAUGGAGUCCACUUCAAUGUAGAUUGCCAGAUCGCCAGCCUUAUACUCCCCGCGUUUGAUUACGCACUGCCAACCUCCAACAAGCGCCAGAUCGAGGCUGUCAGCGUUAGGAUGGGUCUUCACAUCAUCGAUACGAACUACUCGGGCAAGUACGCGGUCUUGGGAAUUACUCAUAUGUUAUCCUCCUUGUUUGAAAAUUGGUAUAUUACUUGUUAAACCAACCGAGGUCAAUAGCUCGCUCUAAGGCCAGUAGCAGAUUUUCAGCAUCUAGAAGGUCACGGAUCGCGAUCCAACUGCCGCUGUCUCCCGGUAGACCAUCUGUGAUAUAUACAGGUAUGUCGCUGUACUCGCUCUUUUUAAGCCCGCAGGCACAGGCUACAUUGUCUCCGAAGACAAUCUCGCUGACUUCCCUUGCCUCGUCUCGAAUAUCAAUCUUCAUUAUGUUUUUCUCCUGUUGUGUUGAAAGUCGUUGUAUUCUGCAUGGAUUCAUCUGCUGUGUCAAUAGCCUUGACAAGAAAAUAAUCCGUGGUAAAGUGUGAGGCCUGCUGGAGAGAAAUGUCCACGUCACUCACCGGCCAGCAGUAUAGCGUAUGAAGAGGAAAGCUGCAAGCGCAUCCUGAGUCGAAUCUGAGAACAGGGCAGCGACGACCCGUAAGGGGAAAGCUCAGAGCCUAUAAGGAGCCCAUGCUCCCCGCUCACCGACUCAUCUGCAUAAUGAGAGCGAGAGGCAGACCAGAGGCAUGUCUUAGGCGGAAAAAUCCGUAUGGCAAGCCUAGGGACAGGUCUGCCUCCACUACCGAUCUAUCUGCAUACAAGAACUUGACAGUAUCCUGUAAACCGUGUAGAGUAAUCUCAAAUCAACCGCAGAGGAGUGUAUAAAUGAAGCAUGUUAUUCACCGUGAAGACCUUAUCGACCUACUACGUGAUCGUAUGAAGCUUGAAGCUCUAGAAGCUGGCGGGGUGGACAACUGGGACUGGUAUGAGGCCUCGCUAAUCGACUGCGGAUACUUCGAUGACGAUGGCCGGGAGCUAGAGGUCGAAGCUCUUGCAGAUUGCUUCCCAACCGUAGGUGCGUAACCGUGGAGGAGUCGAAAGCUACCUUCAAAGACCCUUACCCUAGGUUCUUCGACGCUUCUCGUAGGUAUGGCGAAACCAACGACUGCAUGGUGGUGAGCUUUGCAGUCGUAUGGAACACCACCUAUGAAAAGGCACACCAGCACCUGAAAGUGAAGUGCAAGCGCGGUUACCGGCAAGGGGCUACUCAGAAGCGCUUCAGCUACGCAGACACUUGGUGCCCUAAGACCCGGAUGCUCUACCGGGAGGAUGCUAAGGAUAAGACUCUUAGGCAGUUUGCUGAGGAAAACCCUGAAGGUCGGUUCUGGAUCGCGGUAAAGGGUCACGCUAUUGCAAUCAUCGACGGAGUGUUGUACGAUCACACUAAUGACAAAAGACGCAUCAUCUGGCACUGCUGGCAAGUGUGGCCCGGGGAGGCACCUGAGAAAAUCGAGAGGAAGCCUGAUCCAAUCUCACCUCCUGUGAGAAAGGCCCCAGAUUGGUAUGUCUGAAGAUUACAACUGAGGAGGAAUUAUGGAAAUUAUUUCGAGAGGGACGCUCCCUCAAGAGGUUUUGUUUACGGCUAAGUGCCACCACUGCUUGAGCAUUCUCCGGGCUAAGAGGUCGGAACUUGAGUAUGUUUCGUUCUCAUUCUGCCGUCCCGGAGAGACGGGAUACUACUCCGCAGAAUGCCCUGUCUGUCACGAAGAGGUGACUGCUUGGGUUGCAGUCCCUGUCACCCAUGUAGCACCUCCUACGACAGAGUACGUAGCAAAGGGGCGUGAAUAACAUGGAUCAGUUAGCGGGUUUUAUGGGCGAACCUUUUGUAAUUGCAUUCGAUUAUGAUGAGACAAUCAGUCUCUACCCUCUUGCCUUCCGAAUCGUCAUGGAUACCUUCAGGGGCUUUGGAGGCGCUUUCAAUGUGAUCGUAGUCACUGCACGCCACCCUGACAACAGCGGAGAGUUAGAGUGGCUACGGGACUACGGGUUCCCGAUCUAUUUCACGGCACAGAAGGCAAAGCGACCAUUCAUGGAAAAUCUUGGAAUAAAAGUCUCUGUAUGGGUUGACGACAACCCGUUCAGCGUGGAUAAUGACCUUCCUCCGUGGACAGUGGAGCAAUACGAUGCCUACAUGGAGGCAAAGAAGCAACGAGCUAUCAACAGAGGGAGUAAAGCAUGAGCGAGAUUAUGAAGGUUGAAGUGGGAGAUCGGGUGGUCCUUAAGGCCUAUUGCGAUACAUACACUGGAUGUGCAAAGCGAUGGGCGCAGGCGCAUGGACGUUUGGAUGAACUGCUGGCUACGGGAUUCGUAGAAGAUAGCUGGGUACAUUGUGAUGACCUCGCAGGAGGCUUGAAAGGUACUGUCGUGAUGACUGAACUAGAAGAAUGUUGUGCAGUACGUCUAGACGCCUACACCGAUCACAGGGCUGUAGUAGUUGUCGACUCGUCUGACCUGUACAUCGCAUGCAAGGCAGCAAAAGCUCCCGUAAGCACCCUAGACGAGGCCUUCGGUUGUGACCACGACUACCUUAUGGACUCUCCGGCUAACGCUCAGCGACUGAAUGAGUCUGUCGAGCAGCUACGGACUGGUCAAGUCGUAGAAGUGGACGUACCUAUGAGUGUAAAGCAAGACGAAACUCCACCUGUCGUAGUGCAUGUAGUAGAGAAGAUUUACGAUAGGAAAGGUAACGUACACCUCAUUCUACAGUAUGAGGUAGCAGGGGCGCUAAUCAGGACGGUGGUUGAACAGGGAGAACUCAUUUACUUCUUGGAUGAAAUGCAAGGUAUGUACUUGACCAAGAUUCAAUUGGAGGUGAACAAUGGAGUUGUAUGACCAGUGGCGUAAGUAUAUGAGCGUCGUAAUCUUAGAAGAAGAAGAUAAUGAGCGUCAGUGCAUGCGGCUUAUUGAGGCAGUUGGCGAACUCGAUCCCUAUAUCCAAGAUUUCCUAGAUUCUUUCUCUAUUAAAACUGAAGGAGGUGUGUAAGCAUGAGUCAGAGUAAGCGCGAUGAGAUUGUAGUUGAAGCACGUGGGCUAGAGAGCUACUUCAUUUCCCACUGGAACGGCUGGGAUGUGAUGGACACUGCUUGUCUCGGAUUUUAUAUCAAACCUGAGUAUGUUCUUGACCCGGAUAUUCGAGAGCUUGAGCCUAGCUUCUUGGAGCUUGAUUUCGAGCGUUGCCGUUUCCGAUUCUGGGGAAAUGAAGACGAAGGCGUGGACGGCAAACUCAUGGAGGGCAAGUUGCAGAUUAUGACCAACUCCUUCGAGUACGUCUUCUUCAAGGAGGUUUGAGUGGCUAGACAGACUUACGAGUCUGCAUCAGAUAGGGCGGUCGAGGAGGCCGUCCGUUCUGAGCUUGAAGGGCGGUGGAAGUGUUCUCUUCAUAAGCUACCUAGAGCCCACUAUAUGGAUUGGGCAGCCUGCCGGAAUGGAAAGGUUGUUAGCUUUGUGGAGCUUAAGGCUCGGAAUAAUGAAAUGCAGAAAUAUCCCGACUUCUUUGUGUCCCAGAUGAAGUGGCUCCAUGGGAUCGAAAUGCAAAGGGUGUUUGACAUUCCCGCAUUCCUUGUGGUAAAGUGGACGGACUAUACAGGAUAUGUCAAAAUGACAGCCAACGGCGUCAACUACAUGAGCAUGGGUGGCAGGAUUGACCGUGGAGACUGGCAAGACCAAGAAGUUAUGGUCCAUAUCCCGCUGAAAGACUUCACACGUUUAUAGGAGGACACAUGAAGAGACUCUGCUACCGUUGCAUGCAUCUUGGAGAGCCUGUCAUGCUCCGUCAUAAGACGGGUAUCUGGUACAAGGGUUGUAGUAAAUGUGGAUCAGGAGUAUUCUAUGGCUAAGAAGAACCCUGUAUUCAAGUUUCUGAAUACAGUAAACAAGCCCUCAGUGGAGAGGGAUAAAACCAAAUACAGGCGGAAGCCUAAGCAUAAACAGAAGGAGCGAUUAAAUGAAGAAGGGUGAUAAAGUGAGGAUCAAUGAUGAUGCUGAUACCAUCUUCCGGGGCCGUGUUGCCACUAUCAUCGCAGUAGACGAAGAGGGUUGCGUUAUCGACGUUGGGAGUUACGAGGAUGAGAGCGGAGAGCUGAUCGAGUACCUUCACCUAUUCUUUGAGCGUUCUGAGUUGUCCAAGCAGGCGUAGGAGUGUAUAAUGAACGGACCCGAGUGUAGAUGGUGCGGAGAGAAAACUGAAGCUGAGUUCGUAGACGUUGGGCUUGGAUGGACGCAGCAAGUCACUGGAGGCAUGUGUCACCAGUGUGGAGGGUACGAGAACGGUUACUACCAGAACGACGGAAGGCUCACAGAGGUCGAGUUUGCCACCUACUGGAGUGGUCCGUUCGAAGAUUAUGCGGAUUUCUCGCCAUUCAAUCAUAUGAGAGAAGGCGACUCGCCAUGAAGGCUACACUGAGAAACCACAAUCUGCUAUACAUCUACUUCCACACGUUCUCGGAAAUGAAUGAGUGGUUGACAGAGAACGCUGUAGAUCAAUGGACAGUCACGACUCUGGGCUCCGGCUAUCAGGUGGCUGUUCCUAUGGACCGUGCAAUGCGGGACCAAUACGUCUCGGAGGGGGGUUGACACGAACACAAGGUGAUGCUAAACUCCGUGGUUGUCUGAAGUAAGGAGGUUUUAUGUCCAAAAUGACCGUGGCCCAAAUUGCGGCUAUGCACGGUAUCGAUCUGUAUUCUGACCACAAGACCGCUUGUCCCCAAUGCCGGAAGAAAGGCGCUGACAACAGCGGAGACAACCUAAAGGUCUAUGGUACUGAUCGUAAUACCGGGGAACACAAAGGUGCCUAUUGUUGGGCGUGUGGGUACACCUUGCUCUCUGAAGAGCAGGAAAGAGACGCCCGGGGAGAAGACGAAGAGGAGUGGAAUUUCGUGGGAACUGAAUUUAACGCAGAGAUCAACGCUCAAAUUAAAGAGCAAUGCUCGUAUGAUCCGCGUGGUUAUCGUGGCCUGUCCAAGGAAACUUGCCAGUAUUUCGGAGUGCUACAUGGUUUCGACCCGGAGACUGGCGAGAUUGCAACUCAGCUAUAUCCUACUACUACUAAUUAUGAACUCACUGGCUACAAACAGCGGAUCAUGCCGAAGAACUUCUCAGAGCCUAUCGGCGAGACCGGGAAGGAUUGCGAGCUUUUUGGUCAGUUCAGGUUCAAGAAUAGCAACAGCAAGAAGGUGCUUAUUGUAGGCGGUGAGGUUGACCAGCUAUCAGCAUUCCAGAUGCUCAAGGAGUAUGAUGACCGGCGAGCAGGCGGUAAGAGUGAUUAUGAACCGACUCCAGUGGUCAGCCCUACUAUCGGUGAGAGUGGGGCAUGGAAGCAGCUACAGGCUCAGUAUGAGUGGCUAGACCGGUUCGAGCAAAUCAUUCUCUGUUUCGACAGCGAUGACGCAGGACGAGAGGCAGCAGACAAGGCAGCCGAUAAGCUUCCGAAGGGCAAGGUGUUCAUGAUGGAAAUGAACCGUAAAGACCCUAACGAGUAUUUGAAAGCUGGGCGUCAAUCGGAGUUUGUCAGUGCAUUCUAUCGAGCCCGUACAUGGACCCCUAGCGGUAUUGUAGGGUCUGAUGCACUCGACGCUCGAAUGUAUGAAGCUGUGCAGGUUGAGAAGAUUCCUCUGCCACCGUUCGCUAAGAAGCUCCAGAAGGCUAUGGCAGGAGGCAUCCCGUUGGGCCGGAUUGUGAAUAUCGGCGCUGCAUCGGGCAUGGGUAAAUCUACUGUAGUGGAUGAGUUCACUCUGUUUUGGAUUUAUAACUCGCCUCAUAUGCCGGGUACUGUGACUCUGGAAUCGGACUGCGGGGAGUACGCAAUCAAGCUGCUGAGCCGUAAGGUAGGUGAGAAGGCAGACUUGUACGAGACCGUUGAAGAGAAAGUGGCGUUCCUUGAUCGGCACCGUGACGCUCGGUACGACUUGUGGCACAAGGAAGACGGAAGCCCACGCUUCUAUCUGAUCGAUGACCGAGACGGAAGCCUAGCAGCCCUCAAGGCUCAAAUCGAACAACUGAUUAUUCAGUUUGAGUGCCGUGUUAUUAUUCUGGACCCGCUUCAGGAUAUUCUGGACGGAUUGAGCAACGAAGAGCAAUCGGUGUUCAUGCGCUGGCAGAAGGGUAUGACCAAGAGCCACCGUGUGACGUUCAUCAACAUCAACCACGUUCGUAAGAGUGGGGGUGGUCAGAAGGCUAACUCGGCAGGUGCGGAACUGUACGAAGAAGAUUUCCAAGGGUCUUCGUCCAUCUUCAAAUCUGGCGCAGCUAACAUUCUGAUGUGGCGGAACAAGGACGCGGAGAACGAGUUCGAAAAGAACCUGAUUAACGUGAAGCUCUCUAAGUGCCGAUGGACUGGCCGCACUGGAAUGAUGGGCAAUUGGUACUACGACGUUGAGACUCAUACAAUCUGGGACUUGGACGACUAUCUGGACCGAUACCCUGACAAGCGCCGUGAAUACGAGGCUUGGAUGGCUCAGAAGGAAGAGGAAGGCCGGGACACGGAAUACUAAGGUUGACAGAGGGGUGAUGCUUAUGUAUCAUCCCUUUCGUCGUUUACAGGAGGAAAGGAAAUGCAACAACGAUUUGAAACAAUCGAGCAAUACCUCGAAUGGAUGGGAAAUAACAAUGUCACCAACAUGACUUGGGAUAUCGAGGCCACAGGCCUGUUGGAUGAAACGUCUAUCGAUUACACUGCCAGCCCCUACAAGAUUAAGCCUAGCUACAAACACCACUGCAUUGUAGUGGAGGAGCACGGUGGCAAUAUUCUGGCAUUCUACGAUGGGCCGACCUACGUCUUUGACGGGCGAGAGUACACUGAGAGACUGCCGAAAGCGUCUUCCAUGCUCCACACUGAAGAAGUUGUGACUCUCAAGGACUACACUCCGGUAGAGUAUAUUCACCUGCCGCUGAAAGAGUUCAAGAACUAUGUGCUCAAGCGCAAGAUCAAGCGCGUAGUGGCUCACAACAUGAUUAACUUCGACCUUAUGUCGAUGAAGCUUGUGGAAGAUAUGGACUUUACUAUCGGCGUCGAGCACAGGGAUGGUGGUCUAACUACUUGGUCGGCAGAUACUUGGAUGGGCAAGCAGGUGGUAUUCGACGAUACCCUCGUUAUAUCCAAGACUUGUAACCCUGACCUGUUCGGUGGCCACAGUCUGGAUAAGCUGUCUCGUCGCGCUGGCGGGGACACCAAGAUCGACUUCCGUAAGCAUCUUGCACCGGAUGUUCGAUUCCUCGACUUCGCAGCCGAUAUGCUUUACUACUGUAUCUAUGACGUAAAGGCGAACACCGCUGUAUGGCACUGGUUGCAGGACCACGAAGAUUACCAACUGUCCGACCGAGACAACUACAUCAAGAACUGGUUGUCGCCGAUUCAGUUGGAGAAGAAGGUUGCAGAGAUCAUCACCUAUCAGGAGCACCGUGGCUUCGUACUGAACGUGGAACUCUGCGAAAAGGCUGUUAAGGACUUGGAUGCUAAGAUGGAAGAACGCCGGGCCCGGGUAGAGCCUGUGCUGCCUCCACGCCCUGCGACCAAGAAAUUCAUGGCAGACUACACUCCGCCUGUCCGGCAGUUCAAGAAGAACGGGGAGAUCACAAGCUACCUCCAGAAGUUCAUUGAAAAGAUCGGCGCUCAAUUGAAAGAGGGCGAUGAUCGGACUAUGAUCUUCGAGGGCAAAGAGUACAAGCUGCCUCUUCCGGCAGACGUACCUCUGAAAACGGAGAUGCCUGCUAAGAUUGGAGAUACAACCCACAUCAAGCAGUGGCUUAUGGGCGAGUUCGGUUGGAUUCCCUCUGAGUGGAAAGAGACGGACCUCACUGUCGACCAGAAGAAGAUCAAGCUUCCGAUGGAAAACAUCGUUGCUAAGAUUGACCGUUGGUUGGAUGUGACGUACAGCACAGCGUACAAGGAAGAGCGUCUGGACGGGUUCGGGGAUUACAUGAAGAUCACUCCUCGUAGCACCCGAGCUUAUGUACGUCAAAGGCUGAUUGAUCGAGCCAGUAAAGGCGGUUGUAAGGUUCUCACAAACCCGAGUUUCACCAAGGGGCAAGAGAAGGAAAUGUGCCCGGACCUCGAACGCAUUGCUGAACAGUUCCCGUUCGCCAAGGAUGUGAUUGAGUACCUGACGUUCAAGCACCGUCGAAGCGCUAUUCUCGGUGGUGGCAUGGACUGGGAUGAGAUGGAAGAAGGCGAAGAGCCGGAGAAAGGCUACCUUGCAAGUAUUCGUCAGGAUGGACGUAUUCCCACUCCUGCUGACACUUGCGGGGCUGCUACUAGCCGGAUGAAGCACCGGAAGGUUGCUAACGUUCCUCGGAUCACCUCGUUGUACGGGGCUGAGCUUCGAGAGUUGUUUGGGGUUGGAGAUGGGUUCUUCCAAAUUGGAUACGACUUCGAUUCCUUGGAAGCACGUAAAGAGUCGGCCUACUGCGAUCAGUACGAUCCGACAAAGGAAUAUUGCAAAUCUCUUAUGAUGGAGAAGCCAUUCGACGUUCACACGAUGAUGGCUAAGCGUAUUUCCGAGAUUAUCGGUCGUCAAUUUAACCGAUCUCCUGCGAAAAACGUAAAAUACGGGUGUACGUACGGUGCUCAAGCUGGUAAAGUGGCAAAAACCAUUGGUGCCGAUUUGCAAACGGGUCAACUGGUAUUCGAUGCGUUCUGGGAUGCAGCAUUCCCAUUGAAAGCACUGAAGGAUGACCUAACCAAGCAGUGGGAAGCCAACGGUAAGAAGUAUAUUGUUGGAGUGGACGGUCGCCGAGUUCCUACUCGUUCAGCUCACGCUAUCCUGAACAGCUUGUUCCAGAGUGGCGGUGUUAUCUGUGCUAAACGUGCUAUGGUGAUUCAUGACCAACUGCUGGAGAAAGAAGGUCUGAAGGUUGACUUUUUCAAAGAAGACUGGAAGAACAAGCCUGAAUUCUGCCAACAAAUGAUCGCGUACCACGACGAAGCGCAGUUGGAAGUAACCGCCAAGUCGGUGAGCUUCAAGAUGUUCCCUUGGUCCCUAGUAGGCGGCAAGCCGGAAGGGGAGAAGGAGCGAGAGGCAGCCGAGAAGGAGUUGAAAGCUCUUGCUCAGGCUUAUAAGGAUGAGCAACUGGCGACCACAGGCAAGGUGUGGAGUGAUAUCGCACACUACAGCAAAGGCGAAGGUGGAGUGUUUGUAGCCUACUGCCGCGCUGGAGAACUUGCCACUAAGGCUGUCGGUGCUGCCGGGGAGUUCUACUCUACGCCGUUGGUGCCCAUUGAACUGACCGCCGGCUACAUCGUUGGUCGCUCUUGGAAGGACUGCCACUAAUCUGGCACUAAGCGAGGAAAGGGGCUUGACAGGCCCCUCCGCCUCCUAUACAAUGGCCACAUACUCACGACACACAGAGGAGAAAAACUCAAUGACUCUAGCUUUUGUUAUCUAUCUCGUUAUGACCGUAUUCCCAGCCUUGUAUUCGGCAGGGAGUUUUACCUUGAUCGUUACUAUCAUCGCGUGGGUUGCAGGAGGGUUUGUUUACUUGGUAUCGAUUGGUGGCCGAGAAAAUGAGGCAGUUAAAGCUACACUCAAAAAUCACCUCCGGCCCUUGACAUUCAAGCUGUUUCUACCUAUCAUUGUAAUCGGCCAUCUAGUCCCCUCGUCUGAAACGGCAUGGUGGAUGGUUGGCGGGUACGCUGCACAGAGCCUCUAUCAAGCAGACGCUACUCAGCAGGUUCUCAGCGAAUCUACUGAACUGCUCGAAGCUCUGGUUAAGCGGGCUAAGAAAGAAACUCUGAAGGCUGUUGAAGGCAGCAGCGAGUAAUCUACAGAAUAGGAGGUAUGGUAUGAACACGGCUCGACUCUACGUCUACGGCAAAUCGUCCAUGGUAGGAAUCACUGUUGACAACAAGGCUAACCGAGAGUACUAUACCUCUAAAGGCUUCGAGGUAUCGGAGACACCGUUAGCACACAAGAGUGUUGCUAACAAAUACAAACAGAAAGGAGGUAAAUAAUAUGUCUGGUAUUAUCCCCGGGACUAUCGUCAAACUCACUCAAGUGGGAUGUGACGUCACCCAUGGCUGGCCAAAUGAAGCCCGCUAUGUAGGCGCAUACGCAGUAGCAGUAGAUGGACGUGAUAUCGGACUUGCGGGAGAUCAAAUCCGGUUCUGCUCCCUCCACUGGUCCAUUGAGCGAGAUGUUAAUGAUGGACUCGGAGACUACCAAAUGCUGUUAGCGGAUGCAGGCCGCUACGAGAUUGUAGCAAUCCCGGGUAAGAAGUACUACGUUAAGAACGUUGCCAAGCACAGCGCACAGAUCGGCCAUUACUUGGUUCCUUCGGAGCCAGCCUUGUACGUAGGUUUCGAGCCGUGCUGGCUGAAGAGCAUGCACGAAGGGGAGAGCCCGUUCUGCAUGACUUUUAAAGGACGAGUCGACAUUGGCGGUGAAACCUCUGACGAGCCGCAUUACCAGACCCUCUACCCUGAGCUGGUACUGGAGGAGUUCAAAGAAGAGGUCAAGGUUGAAGCCCCGGUCAACGAAGAGAAGAAAGAAAAGGUUGCAAAGCCCGCUGUAAUGGGUUACGCUGUUAUCGACGUAGACGGAUUCCCGCUUAAGUUCACCAUUACUCGCGAAGAGGCACGGUCCACUAAGCGUUGGUUGGGUGGCAAGGCGGAAGGCGUCUCGAUUGUCAAACUGAUUAAAGGAGAGGAGGUGCGCUAAUGCGCUAAUCCUCUUGCAGAAUCCGGGAAUGUCCGGUAUGAUCGUCGGUCAAGUGGCUGACACACUCGCCCAGUCUAGGGUACUUAAAUAGGAGAAAUAAAAUGGCUUUUAAACUGAACGUAACUACCAACACUCAAUCCGGCAACGGCGGCAUCCGCAAGGAAGUCGAUUGGGAUGCUCUGAACAACCACGUCGUGGAAGCUGCUGGCACUGCCGCUAAAGCACGUUCGAUCCCGGGUUAUAUCUCCGGCAUCAUCGACCUCGGCGAGCAAGAGCAGAACGAUGCAGAGGUUGUGUUCACUGGCACUUCCGAAGAUGAAAUCCAAAUCAUCAAGGAAUACCCGAACACUUACUUCAAGGACGGACUGGACAAGCAGACUCGUAAACCGGUACGUCUGAAGUGCUGGCCGCAGCGCGAUAUGCAACAAAUCGCGAUCACUGUGGACUUCCCUCAGAUCGAGGUGGACAAGAGCCUGUACCUGACCGGUAACAGCAACAAAUCUCCGCUUCGUGUCCUGUACAACGGCGACUUCACUCUGCCGGGUCAGAAGACUAAGAUUGUUGGCCGUCCGUUCACCAUCAAGGAAGUGAAGCAUCCGAACGGUAAGUGGGCGUUCGCUAAGAACUCCAUGCUGCACAAACUGGCUGUAGCUACUGGCGUCAUCAACGAAGACGAACUCUUCACCAAGGACCGCGUAGGCGAGCUUCUGGGUAAAGUGGCUCAGUUCCAAGUUCGAGUGUGGAUGAAGCCGGGCAAAAACGACAUGAAAUUCCUCACCGAGGAUAUCAGUCUGGUCGGUAUGGUGCCUGAAGGUGUUCCGGUCCCUGAACUGGAUGAGAAGUACAUCUACGGCGUGAACCUGUAUGGUGAGAACGACGAAGAGGCAGUUAAGCAACUACGUGCUAACGUCAUCAACACCAUCAAGCGAGCCAAGAACUAUGAAGGUUCGGAUAUCAAGGCGAUGAUCGAAGCUGUUGAAGCUGCACGCGGCGGCAACCGUUCCAGCGGUGACAGCGAGGAACAAGCUGAAGCCAAAGAGCAGACUAAAGCUGCUCCUAAAGUUGAGCCGGUUCAGACCAACGUCGAUGACGACAUUCCGUUCUAAGGUUACGCGGAAGUAGAGGUAAUAGAGGGGCUUCGGCCCCUCCCUUUCAAAUUUCAAAGGAGGUAACACAUGCAAAUCAAUCUCGGUCCUAUUUUUCUUCUGGCUGCCAUCAUUCUGUGCGUACUGAAGUCUGCCGGCGUACUCGCUAUCUCUUGGACUGUGGCACUCAUGCCCAUCUGGAUUCCUCUUGUAAUUGUAUUGUCGAUUCUCGUACUGUUUCUUGUAAUUGUAGGUCUGAUUUACGCAUUCGGUGAUCGUAGUAAACUGAACUUUAGCUUUAAAAAGCACUUCCGGAAUAAGUGAGGACUAAUGAUGAGUAGUUUGGUUAUUGUUCGAGUACCUGAGUACAUUCUAAAAGGUCCCACAGUAAACAACCAGUUCAGCGGUGACCUGUGGGAGCGAAAUCUCUUCAAAGAUUUGAAGAACGCUGCGGAGUGUAUCAUUAAAGGAGAGCCGGCUUAUGUUGCUCUUCCUAACAAGGUAAACCCUGACACUCUACAAACAGAGUGGGACAUUCAGGUUGUGCAGUUCUAACCCAAGGGGAGCUUCGGCUCCCUUUUUCAUUGGAGAUAAAAAUGAGUGAAAAGGAAGAGGAUAUUGUCCUCAUUGACGGCGACCUGAUCGCCUUUAAGUGUGCCAGUGUUAACGAGACUCGCUCUAUCAUCGUUAAAAACAAAUUGACAGGGGAAGAAGAGACUUGGAAGAAUCGGACGACUUGGCGGGAGAAUAACAAGGAUGAAGAGGGGUUCAACGAAGACAACUUCGAAAUUGAAGACCAUCAAGACCCCAAGCACGUAUCCUACGGCAUCUCUGUCGUCAAGACUAUGAUCGACCGAAUCUGCCGACAAGCCGGAUGUAAGCAGUUCAAGAUUCUCCUAUCCGGUCCUGACAAUUUCCGUGAUUCCAUCCCCCUCCCGAAAGAGUACGAGCUAACCAAGGGUAAAAAGACAUUCACACGCGGUGGUCGAUAUAAAGGCAAGCGUACAGGUCAGAUUAAGCCUCUACAGCUAGGUCAGCUAAGGCAGUAUAUGAUUGAAGCGUAUGACACCAUCAUCCACCCCGGCGAAGCGGAUGACUUGAUGGCGGAGAUGAUGUAUAAGAACGGCGUAAGCUACUCCAGAGGGGAGACCACUCAGCGCGUGAUCGGAGCUACCAUCGAUAAAGACGCAGACGGCACUCUAGGAUGGCUUUGUAACUACGAACGUGAGCCUGUUCAAGUCAAGUUCAUUUCAGGCCUAGGAUCGCUCUACAGAGACUCUAAAGGCAAGGUUAGAGGAGAGGGUAGGAAGUUCUUCUACUUCCAGCUACUAUUCGGCGACCCUGUUGACUGUUACCGUCCGGCUGACCUGUGUAUCGGGAAGGACUUCGGGGAAGUGGCAGCGUAUAACAUCAUCAAUCCCUGCGCAACGGACAAGGAGUGCUGGCAAGCGAUCUACGACACCUACAAAGCGUGGUAUCCUGAGCCUGUCACCUACACGGCGUGGGACGAUACAGAGCACACUAAAGACGCUGUAGAGAUCAUGCAAAUGUACUGCGACUGUGCCCAUAUGCAACGCUGGGCGGGAGAUAGAGUAGACUGUAGGGCUGUUCUGGCUAAACUCGGGGUAGACUUAGGAGGUGCAGAAUGAGUGUAAGGCCUCGCCCUUGGGAAGACUUCCCGGGCAUCUGGAAGACCGAAGCCGCGUUCUUGAGUUGGGUCAGAGGUGGCAUUCGCCGCUACCUCUGGUCUAAGAAUCCCGUCAAAUUGGAGUUCGCAAAGUCUAGAAGGGUCAAAAUAGUCAACACCAAUGAAAAGAGCAAGCUCCGUAAUCCCACUGUAUGGGGCUAUGUAUGCGAGCAGUGUGGCAAGGAGACCCCUCAGUCUAACGUCGAGAUCGACCACAAGACCGGAGAAUUCUCACUGAAACGUGUAGAGGAUAUCCAAACCUUCGUAGAGGGCGUGGUGUUCGUGCGAAUGGAGGACUUGGCUGUCCUGUGCAAACCGUGCCAUGAGAUCAAGACCUAUGCAGAGCGCUACGGACUGACCCUAGAGGAAGCAGAUAUCGUAAAGCAGGCUAUUGCAAUCCAGAAGCAAAAGGGGUAUGAUAAGGUCUUCUUGCAGGAGGUGGGAAUCAAGCCUGCAUCCAACGCAUCACUGAGAAAAGAGCAGAUCAUAGAUUACCUUAAGGCUAAGAAGGAGGGCGGAUGAACGAGGACCGGGUAUACAUUGCAGUGAGAGACGACGCACCAGAAUACAUGGUGCCGACUCUCGUCGCCCACAGCAUCCUAGGGGCUGAUCGUAAUGCUCAGCAGAGAUACAGAGCGCCGCGAUUCCCUCCUCUAGAUGAGCAGGUAGAAGCAGAGGAUAUGUUCACCCGCAAGUGGAUCGCAUGGCUGGAAGAAAGCUUCCGUAAAGUCGUUGUACGCGUCUCUGACAAAGAGUACAACAAAAUCAAGAGAAUCCCGUUCGUAUAUGAGGGAUAUGAGAAAACCAUUUGCAACGGAGAGGGUUCUUGUCUAGUAGUGCCUCCUCUUAGCAAGGAGGAAACCCCGAAUGUUCUUAAAUUUGCAAAACUAUGGAGGCCUAUGUGAGAGAGAAGUUUAUUAAAAUCAUGCGAAAGCUGCCAAUCAGAGUACGAGCUUCUAUCGUCCUGAUUUGGAUUGCUCUGUUCUUUUGGCUGCCGGUUGUAACAGCACUCGUCGCCGGAGUUAUAGACUUCUUCUAUACCGCAAAGGAUCAGUUCAAAGAGGGCUACUCCGUCUACUUCGAUGCCACACAGGGUGCGUGUUAUUGCAUUAAAACAGGAAAGGAGUUAUGACUAAAUUAGCUACAUAUGUUAUUCGCCACAAAAAGACUAAAGAGCUUUGGACUACUCCUAAAGGAAAGAGGCAAUGGGCUACGAAAGGGGCUGCGGCCCUAGCUUGGAGAAACGCUUAUGAGGGAACUACACUGGGCGUAUACGUUGCUAAAAGGGACACGGAGCGAUGGUCCGACUUGAACAUUCCUAUGAUAGUGGAGAAUGGGUGCUACCGUUUGGCUAGCCGAGAGGCCGCAGCUUUCAAGAGUCAAUCUGCUUUCGAGAUUAUCGAUAUAGCUGAAUCUCUGAAGAAUGAGAAUCAAUUGGUACUCGACUUGCUGAAAGACGUUAUCGGAUUUGAAGUGCCAGACUCCGUUGGAGACGGAUACGUUCGUCUAACUAUUAAAACAUCCACAUAUGAUGAUAUCAUCAAACUACUGAAGGAGACGAAAUGAGCAUGAUGGACCCUAAAGCAUACUUCAUCAAACAAGACCUAGAGGAAGCCACAAAGCUCCUUGAGAGGGCUCUCAAUCUACUCGACAACGUUCAUUGCUAUGAUACAUAUGUAUAUGAGGAUAUUGCAGCGUUCCUUUACGGUCGAGACUGCGAGGAGGCAGAGUAAGGUGCAGAAAGACAUUAGGAAAACUACAUCGGAGCUUCGAGAUUUGUGUGAAGCUGUCUCUAUGCUAGACGAGGCCUUGGUUAUGAUGCAGAAAAACGGGCUUUAUGAUACAGACUUGUACAAGCGCAUAGACGCAUUUUUGUACUACCAGCCGGGAGAAGGUGAAUGGGAGGUUCUUGAAUGAGUAGCAAGAAACACUUUGUAAUUUCUGACACUCAGUGCAAACCGGGUAUCAACUUGGACUACAUGGAAGCUAUCGGUAAGUAUAUCGUAGCCAAACGUCCAGAUGUUGUGAUCCACAUUGGAGAUCACUUCGACCUAGCUAGCCUGUCGUCCUACGAUAAGGGUAAACGAUCCUCUGAGGGGCGUAGGUACUCUGAAGACGUUCAAGUCGGACGUGAGGGUCUGGACCGACUGUUCAAGCCUCUGUGGGAGCUACAGGAGCGUCAGCGGGCUAAUCGGAAGAAAGUGUACCAACCCCGACUGAUCUUUACACUGGGUAACCACGAAGAGCGAGCAGACCGGGCUGCUAAUGACAACCCUGAGUUGUAUGGCACCGUAGGCAGCGAUGAGCUUGGUAUUCAGGACUACGGUUUUGAGGUUGUCCCGUUCCUCAAGCCCAUUGAAGUAGACGGAAUUUACUACGUCCACUACCUGCAAAACCACUUCACUGGUAAGCCUCUGGGUGGUACAGCGAACAACAUGCUCAAGGCUGCUGGUCAUUCGUUUGUCAUGGGCCACCGUCAGCUUCUGGACUGGGCGAUCCAUCCUACAAUCGACGGAAAACAAAGACUUGGCAUUGUGACUGGAGCGUGCUAUCCUCACGAUGAAGCCUACAAAGGCUAUCAGGGCAACAACCACUUCCGUGGCUGUGUUAUGAUUCACGAAGUGAAGGAUGGUUUUGGUCUACCUAUGCCAGUAAGUCUGGACUUCAUGAUGGAGAAAGGAGGUUUCAAAUGACGGUUUAUAAAUUCUGGUGCGAAUGGGAUAUCGGUAUUAAUGAAUGCCUGUGGCGAGACUACUACCAGAUGGAAGAGGAUGUAGCUAAAGCCUUGUCAGACUGCGGGAUUGAGGAUACCAUUGAAGAACUAGAGGAUGCAGGCCUGCUGGGCUUCGACUCUGUUAAAGUAAUUGGGUAAUCGGCUAAGUAAAAUAAAGGAGGAUGUAUGGCUGAGUUUUUCCUAGGAGUAAGUCUUGCCGCCCUGUUCUUCAUGUUCUCGGGAGUAACAAUGACUUAUGAGUCUGUCGAGAAGAUAGCUACAGCAUGUGAACAGAAUGAAGGGGUUAAGCAUUUCAAUGUUGACUUCUUCGAGAACCGCACUGUAAAAUGCAAUAACGGCGCGAUUUUUGAAAUCGACCGUAAAUCUAAAUAAUCUGAAAGGAGAUAUAAAAUGACUGAUUUCAACAUCACCCACGAGCAAAUGGAAGAAGCAAUGGCCGGUAUGAACCCGGAGCAGCGGGCUCUGGUAGAGAAAGCCUUGACCGACCGUAAAUCUCUGGAAGACUCCAUCGUCACCGAAGAUGGUGAACUGGACUACGGCAUGCUUGCACAGCACAUCCGCACCAGCUUGGGUGAUCUGCCUCUGGUAAUGGGCGGCCCUGACUUCCUGAAGCUGAUGAUCUUGGUUGCUGCGAUGCCGGAGACCAAAGACGAUCUCCUGACUCUGCACAUGAACCUGUCCUUCAUUCUGGACUGCAUUCGUGAAUCGAUUAGCGACGAGGAGUAACAAGUGACCGAAGAGAUUGUAAAAGAAGACCUAUCUGGCGACGAUCUCAUGGUUGACUCAGCAGGGCUAGAUGCCCUGCUGGCCUUCCUAGAGAGUCAGUUUAAAGGUCCGAAGGGUGUACUGAAGGGAUAUGUCACUAUGAGAGUGAUGUGCGCUAAGAUUGAGAGCCUUGACGGGUUUCAAGAGUUGAAAGAUAUGGAGGUGAACUUUGAGUAACGAUAUCAUCGACGUUCAUGCUGGGCAACCGAUUUCUCUGGUGCAACGGUCAAAGAAUCCUAUCAAUAUUCAAUAUUGGGAUGCCGAUACCAUUCCUCACGGUACGGUCUUGGUUGUUACCGAGAAAAGGGGCGAUAUCCAAAAGGGAGAGUUGGUCGUAAGGUUGGCUAGUAGUGCAGAUGAUGAGCACUCUGUUAAGGUAUGUAGAUUCUCUGAUUUCCUCCUUCUGAUGGAGCAGGGCUACAACUCAGCUAGCCUUAGCGACGUUAGUCAAGCGUAUGACGUUCUGUUCGAAGACCCUCCGGCGACUACCUUUGUCAACUGGGACCGGGCUCAGCCUUUGACAAACAGUGAGCGCUACUACGGAGACUUUCUGAUUGGCGGCGACCCUAAAGGGAUGCCACUAUUCAACAUGGCUGUUCUUAAAAAUGUUCUGUCGCCUUACACUGCCGACGAUGAGGAACUUUCAGCUAUGACCGGGAAUCCCGAGACAGUAGAGCACAAAGAAGUUGACGAACUAAGUGAGAGGGACGAGGCUUUAGCCGAGGUCGACAGACUCAAUGAAGAGCUUGUUGCACUGGGUAAGAAGGUUGUGUUCGCCAACCUAGAAGAUUACCUAGGCAAAGAAAACUAUGCCACAUUGGAAGCUAUGGCUAACCACAAGGAGGCUGUAGGUAGCGGAGGCUCCUCUAGUUACUACACUGUCAAGGUGAACAACCCCACUACGAAGGCUAAUCGAGAGUACUUCGCAGAGUGUAAUGACAUUAUCGAGGCGUUGGAUAUGCGAUUCGGUCAAGGUAAUGCCUUCAAGGCGCUGUGGCGUGCUGCGGCAGCUCAGAACCUAGGCAAGCUCAAGGCCGGCAACGAUGUUAUCCGGGACUACGAGAAAGUCAUCUUCUUUGCUCAGUUGGAGAUCGAUAAGAUUCUCAGAGAAAGGGGUUGACAUUCUCUCUGAGGCUUGCGAUAAUAGGCUCCAAGUUGAAACGAAGGAGGUAUGUAGAUAUGAUCCAGAAAGUAAAACAGAAGCUUAUGAUGGUGCAUCCUAUCCUCGCUAGCGAGAUCGUCUGGUGCCUCACCUUCGCAAUGCUUCAAUAAGAUAAGGGAGCUUCGGCUCCCUUUAUUGUAUCAAAGAUUUAAUAAGGAGAGUUUAUGCAAAUUUCUGCAAAAGUGAUUCAACACAGUUCCCGGAUCGGCCUAGGUACGAAGAAUCACAGAUUCAUCACUACAUUCGAACUGGAGUAUCCUCGGUUUAUUCACAGUGAACUUAUGACUCACCGACUUUUUAGUCGAAAUGCUGCAAGUAGUCGUGCCAUUCCCGUUGCCCAUAUGAUCCGACAGGUGGAAGAGAGUCCUGCGAUGCCUGUUCACUGGGGAAUGAAUCAACCGGGUAUGCAAGCUGAGUUCGAACUGAGUGAGUGUUUGCAGCGUAGCUCUCAGUACCUGUGGAAGAAGGCUGCAAAGAGUGCGGCUCGGAUCGCUAGCGCACUAAAUAAAAUGGGACUCCACAAGCAGGUGGUUAACCGUCUCCUUGAGCCGUUCCAGAUGAUGAAGACCGUUGUUACAGCCACGGAACUAGAUAACUUCUUCUACCUGCGUUGCCAUAAAGACGCACAACCGGAGAUCAAGGUUCUCGCUGAGAAAAUGUAUGAGGCUCUUAUUAAAGCGGGCCCGGCAGAGGCUCUAUAUGACGGAGAGUGGCAUGUUCCUUAUGUGACUCGGUUCCGCAUAGGGGAUGGUAAGCUGCGUUACGCAGAUUGUAACGGGCAAGAACUGAGCGUAGAGGAUGCUAUUAAGGUAUCUGCUAGCUGCUGUGCUCAGGUUAGCUAUAGGAAGAACGACGAGACUCUGGAGAAAGCUCUUGUAAUCUACAACCGAUUGGUAGAUACUAAGCCCGUUCACGCUAGCCCGUUCGAACACCAAGCAACGCCGAUGCUGGAGCCUCACUUCUGGUGUGGGGAUUGUCAACAACAGCCGGAUUGGGAGGAUGGCGUAACUCAUGCGGAUCGUGAGGGUAAUUUCUGGUCUGGUAACUUCAAAGGUUUCAUCCAACAUCGUCAACUAAUUAAAGGGCAUGUAUGUAAUGAAUACUACGGCCAAGAAGAGGAAGGAGUUUAAAAUGGCAGAAUAUAACCUGAGUCUGGAAGACCUCAUGCUGGUCGAUGGCUUCAAAGAGGCGUUCCAGAGUAACAAUGAGAAGGUAGUAAGGGAGCAUCUGUGGACUAACGGCAUGGAUGUUAAAAACUACUCGUAUGAAAUGGUUUUCUGUCAGCAUCGCACCCUGAUUGGCCGAGUCGUAGAGGGUCUACGAUUCUCUGGCUUUGAGCGUACAGACAAGGAGUGGCUGAGCCUCGGUUGCGCCUCUCUGGAAGCUCAUAUUGCAGCGUGUGAUGAUAGCAAUCUACGGUUCACUCUUCGCAAAAUGCGUCCAGAGGGAUCGACAGAGGCAACGUUUCACAAUUAAUGCAGUAGCAGUAGAAAUAGGGAGUGGGUAUGGAAGUUACAAAGGCGCUCGUAGACGAGGCCGAUAUUUUCAAUAAGAUCACACAAAUCAGGACUCCAACGGAGUCCUAUGCCCGGAAGUACCCGGUCAUUGUCGAACUAGCAAACCAGCAACUAGAAGAGAAGUUGUGGUUCUCUAGCGAAAUGAAGGUAGAGCUGGAUAAGUUGAACCUGAAGUUCAAGUUGGAACCUCAUCAGCUUCACGCUGUAAAGACUGUCCUUCAACUGUUCCUCAAAUACGAACUGAUCGUAGGCGAGGAGUUUUGGAUGGGUAAAGUAGUCCGCACGUUCCCUCGCCCAGAGGUUAAACUAGCGGCUUCGAUCCUGUGCAUGAUGGAAUUGGCAGUCCACGCUGAAUUCUACAACCAGAUCAACGUAGUGCUGGGGAUGGAUACAGAUGCGGACUAUGUAGCUUACAAGGACGACCCCGAGCUUAUGGGUCGGAUGGACUGGCUUGAGUCUGUUCUAGGCGAUGAGGACGAUGUUCUUUCGGUAAUUAUCUUCAGCCUAACAGAGACUGCCCUUCUGUUCAGUUCUUUCGCUAUCCUGAAGAGCUUCCAGUGCAACGGGUAUAACGAUAUCCCUGUCAUCGCACGCGGGGCUAACCAGAGUGCUGUGGAUGAAGACUUGCACGGUGUAGUUUCGGCUGAGAUCAUCAACCAAUACUACGCAGAGAUUGGUCGACCAUUGUCUGAAGAUACUCGGCGUGUCGAGAAGAUUCGACAAGCUAUCGACCAUGUAUAUGCUCAUGAAUGUCGUAUUGUCGAUAUGGCGAUCCCGGGCGGAGAACUUAACGGCGAGUCGGCUGAAAACUAUAAAGCGUUUGUUCGUUAUCGUUUGAACGUAUGGUGCCGUCGUCUGGGUCUGGAAGAUCAUUUCGAGAACGAUGACACUCCGAUCAAAGAUUGGUUCGAAAUGAACACGUACGCUUACAAAAUGAUUGACUUCUUUACUCCGGGAAUGGGCAUGGAGUACGAACUGGGGUGGGACGAAGAAGAAAUGGCAAAAGCUUGGGAAGAGGAGCUAAAAUAUGAGUAAGAGAGACACAUUCAACUAUUCCGAAGCUAGGAAAAAUAGCCAAGCAACCGGCGAGACUCCUCUAUGGUAUACGACGGCUGGCUACCAGUUGUUCAUGAAGAAGUAUUCGAACGAGGGCGAGUCUGUACGCUCUCGCUUCCAAGCUGUAGCUCGCGCUAUGGCUCAACAUGCUCCUAUGGUAUACCCGGAGUGGUGGGAUCAGGACGAGUACACUAAAGGUAAGAACUGGGAGCAGGUGUUCUUCGACGUUAUGUGGGAUGGAUUUGUUAGCCCAUCUACGCCGCUUCUGUCGAAUGGAGGCCUCCGUAAAAAGGGCACUACGGUGUCUUGUGCUGGCGGUCUGAUGGACAACAACCUCUAUGACCGUUACAAUGUAAUGACAGAGAUCGCAGUGCUAACGAAGCACAGCCAUGGCACAAGCUUUAGCCUGACCAACUGGCCAUCAGAAGGAGACGCUAUCCGAGGCGGUGAGUCUCAAGGUGUGAUGCCUGUCAUUCGGGACGUUAUCAACGUCAUGGAAGAGGUAGCACAGGGUUCUAGGCGUGGUAGCUGUGCAUACAGCAUCAACCCCCGCCAUGGAGACUUCUGGAACGUUAUCGAUCACCUGUAUAAGCGCACAGAGUCGAACAACGUCGGAUGGCUUCUAGACGACCAGUGGUGCAAGGAUAUGGCCGAGAAAGACCCGGAGACCUUGAAGCGAUGGAAGCGAAUGAUGUUCGUCAAGCUGGCCAGAGGAAAAGGCUACUUCACGUUUAUCGAUAAGAUGAAUCGGCACCUUGCAGAACCGUUUAAGCGGGCGGGUCUACGCUGCGAAGCGUCCAACCUUUGUCAAGAGACUGUUCUCCCGGCAAACGACUGGUAUACUUUUAGCUGCGUUAUCCUGAACUACAACCUCGAACUUUACCGUUCUUGGCCUAAGCACCUUGUGUUUAUUGGUCAGGUUAUGUCUGAUUGCAACAUCAGCGAAUACCUAGCAACCAUGGAUGAGGUCAGCGUUCAGGACCGCCGAGCACUGGAGAAGAUUUACCGAUUCACCAAGGACUUCAGGGCGCUUGGCAGCGGUGUUCUAGGGUUCCACACCCUGCUACAGCGGGAGCGAUUCCCGGUCGGUAGUAUGGAUGCUAUGUUCCUGAACAACGCCAUCUUCAAGGGUAUGAAGGAGCAAGCUGAGGCUUGCAACAGUUGGCUAGCCGAGGUUCUAGGAGAGCCAGCGGGGUGCCGUGGUCUAGGGAAGCGUAACGCCACUACAAUGAUGAUGCCGCCAACUAAAUCGACGGCUGAACUCAUGGCGGGGGCCUCUGAGGGUAUCGGGCUGGACGUGGCUAUGUGCUUCACAAAGCAGAGCGCUGGAGGUGAAUUCUUCCGUGUCAACAAGGUGCUUCUGGAGAUCAUCCAAGAGCGAGGCCUUGAUUGGGAAGAGUGCGCUAGACAGAUCAACGAACGUAAGGGGAGUGUUCAGCACGUAGACUGGUUGACUGACCACGAAAAGGCUGUGUUCCGUACUGCCUUUGAGGUGAGAAUGGAAGACUACCUGCGUCUGUGCUCUCAGCGGCAGAAGUACAUCGACCAAGGUCAGAGCAUCAACCUGUACUUCACGUCGAACGACUCGCCGGCUUACAUUUCGUACAUCCAUCGUCUCGCCAUGGAAGACCCGAACAUCCUAUCUUUGUACUACAUCUACAGUAUGAGAGGAGCGGGAGAUAUCUCCAGAACAGAAGAAUGUGAAAUGUGCAUGUAAAAUCAUUGGCCCGGGGCUUGACAGCUUCCGGGCCUUUGUGUAUUCUGAGCACAUCAAAACAAGGAGGGACUAAAAUGAACAAAUUCUCUGAAGUGUACUACACUUGGAGCGCAGCGUGCUCUCGUACAAAUAUCUUGAUAGAUAUGGGAUGGACUGCUACAAUCCGUCGAGACUUCACUGGCGGGAUCAACCCUGUAUGGGUUGUGGAGUUCACGCGAUGAACAGCAAACUCCGCAAAGAGUUCGAUAAAUGGUGGGGACAGGACGAGCAAGAAGAACUUCGUAAAUCCUGUGCCAAAGGAUGGGCGGAAUAUAUCUGGAUGGCUAGUCGAAGAAAAGUGAGUGUUGAGCUUCCCGCGCCAGAAGGCGGAUUUAUCGACAUCCAAAAGUACACAAUCAAUCGCUGCAAAGAAGCUAUCCGCGAAACAGGACUGGAGGUGUUUUAAUGAAAGAAUAUUUUAAAAAGCGACUAAUGCAGACCAGUGAACCGUUCGAUUCAGCGACGCAAGCUAUGGACGUAGCGAUUGCGUGGGGAGGGGCUAAGUACUGCGAAUUCACUUGCGUAACUGCGGAUAAUCGCGUCAUCAGCAUCUGGGAGUACAAUGACGUAGAGCCUGAUAAACCGGUAUUCAAUGGACAGCAACGAAUCUUAGUUCCAACUUUUGAGGAGGUAGUAUAAUGGAACAAACUAUUGAUAAAUCUCGGUAUAUUGUGCUUGAUAACGAAGGUCGGCACGUUCUGACCUUGUGCGAGAAGGCCGCCUAUAACCUGCUUAAAGGCGUUCAGUGGACAAAGGACAAGCAUGGUCAAAUCCAUGUAAAUGGUGUCACAGGCGUUGAACUCGGAGUUCGUCAAGGGAUUAUCGCUGAAGUAUUCCUGUAUCCGGGCUACAUCAUCCUAGAAGAGGUAGACUAAUGGAUAUGUUCGAUAAAUACAUGCAAGUUAUGUAUGACCGGGACGCUUUCUCAAGGCGAGUCGGUGAGUUAGAAAAAGAGGUAGCCGAACUCAAGGCUAAGGUGGCUAUCGCUAAGUGUGAUAUGCGUGUCGUGAAAACCCUACUGGAAGAUAUCCAAUGGGUGUAUCAAGACGAAGCUAUCUAUACUCUACCGGGCUACGUUUGCCCUUGUUGCGGGGAAUCUGCAAACUAUGGGCAUUUCCAAGGCAGCUUCGAUAAGAGCCCCUGCCUACUAGCUUGUGUACUGAGCCGGAGUGAAGCGUAUGAAGCCUAAUGUUGUAGACUCGCUAGGCAUUAACAUGUGCUACGCCUGCGGAGGUAAACUGUACGUCCGAGGAGUAUGCACUAUCUACUGCCCUGAUUGCGAGAAGGCAACGAAAGAUAAACCGUUCGUCAGGAUGCAGCUUCUACAGGAUAUCGCAGACAGCAAGAGGGUUGACAACGAAUAGAAGUGCUAGUAAGAUGGCCACAUCAGACAGAGGAGGAGCCAUGGCUACAACAGAGAAGAUCAUCGAGUAUGUCUCGGCCUGUAUCGAACGCUUGCAAGAGGACGUAACUGGGUACUCGGAGAACUUCCGUGACAGGGCGUUAUCUAAUCGCACAGGGUAUAUUCACGGGCUUAUCACUAUGGCUGAAAUGAAUGAGCAAGUGAGUAUAGAGGACUGCGACAAGCUCCGUGCAAAGCUUCGUGAAGCUGCUGGGGCUGUGUUGAACGUACUGGAUUCCAAAAUUAACUAGGAGGUGUUCUGAUGAAUAUGAAAGAGAUUAUGCAGGCUUUGAUUGUCGUUGUCGCUCUGACUCUCGCAGCAAUAGGUUUUGUAGUCGGGAUUACUGCAUUGGCCAACAAGAGCGCGCCUGCCGAGGAUAUUGUCGUGUCUACUGAAGACGGCACCAUCAAUCUCGGUCGCUCCGUGAAGAGCGAGAAGCUGCUGUAUAGCAUGUGCAUCAAGGUAGAAGACCGUAAACCUGCUUGUGAAUUCACCACCAAGGACCGUGUUCUUAGCGAAGUGAAACAGGUUAUGCGCCCGGGCGAGGCUACGGCCCGCGAUAUUAAGAUUGCAGUAAACGCGGCUGUGACGUAUACUGGUGAGAACGGGCAGGAAGCAACCUCUCUGAUUACCCCGAAAGGUAAGUAUCUCCCGGCUGGCACCCCGUCUGAAGUGCAUAUUCAAGAGAUUGCAAAUUUGUUCGAUAGCGUGUACAAUGACUACAAACAAAACUUCAGCAAGAUGUGAGGAGGACUCAUGAAAGCACAGCCUAAAGAAGUAGAAACCCUGUCCCUCGACAAGCGACCCAAGGCAGGUGAUGUUGUUCGACUGCGGUCUGACGGUAAAACCUACGAGGUGAAUGCUGUAUAUCCCACAGCAGUAGGCUGGGAAGCGAUUCUCCGCAACAUGUACGACAAGACUAAGACCGUCACUGUCAGCAUGGAGUGGUGAAAUGGCAAGAACCGUCAAGUGCGUAAACUUCCUACCUGUCACGCCGGACGGUCGAGUAAUCGUCCGAUUCGGCAAGAAGAGGCUAGGCUGGCUUGGUAAACAGGGUAAGAAGUGGCAUUACUACCCUUAUGGAUGCGAAGGCAAGAUUAAAUCAGAGGGGUUUAAAACACUCGCUGAAAUCAAGGCUUGGAUUCGAGACCCCGAUGCUGUCUGGCCCGGUCCAAAGCCUGAGAUUGACUAAUUAGCCGACGAAUGGUACAAUGGUAUGUAGGAAAUUCCCUACUCAAUAUAAGGAAACUAGCAAUGACUAGCCGCUGGAAAGAGGCCGUGUAUCGUAAGUACUCGGUGCGUCGUCUGCGGCAGGAACUCGAAGAGUUCAAAGAAGCUAGACGCUUUGCACCAAACCAACGCAUCCGUGCAUGGUUUGAUGCUCAUAUCGAAUUUCUAGAACGCCACUUGGCUAUUCGAGAGUCCGGCCAAGCCUACCCAGACGACCUUUGGUAAUUAGGUAAUUAGGUGUGUUGUAGGUAGAGAUUCAAAUCAUGGUUAGUGGCAAGGACGCCACACUUCAGCCCGCCCACAAGGCGGGCUUCUUUUUGCCUGAAAUUUGAGGUUGACAAGGUUGGCCGGAAUAUGUAAACUUGCGGCAUCCAACAAAGGAGGGAAGAAAAAUGCAAUUCAAUAUAUCGAAGCAACUAUGGGUAGCUAAAAGCGAGCGGAAGGGUGACUAUAAAGGGACGCUUUUGGCAUACAUGUCUCAAGUGGACUUCAAUAAAGAUGGUAGCUUGGCUGCCAGCUUCAAGAAAAAGCAGCAGACUGGUAUGAGCUGGGCAGGUAAGAAUGCCGAGACUUGCUUCAUAGACAACAUCCCUAUCUCGGGGCAUUUCAUCGGGGACAGUGUUGAACGCUGGGUCACUGAGAACAAAUAUUUCCGUGUGACGGACCCUAGGGGCUUUGUUCUAGAGGUUCCUACCGGGAAUAUCUCGACCUUGCUCUACAACUGCACAGUAAUCAAGGGAGUUAUUCAAGAGCCUUGCGUGUGGGUGCGGAUGGGUUCUCAGCACGUUCUACUGCCGGAAGGCUCCUCUCUCUACAAAGAAGCUGUAAGUUUCGUAGAGCGAAAAGAGUCGGCCAAAACUGUUAAAGAUAUGGUUGCAGGGGAUCGAUGCACUCUUCUUAGCUACGGGACAGAGGAGAAACUAGAGGCUAUCUACCUCGGACAGGUGAAGAUCACUUGGCACCUCCUAGCUAAAAAGGGCCGGUACUCUAGCCGAGGGUGGGGUGGGGGUCGGUGGGGUUACCACCAUCUAGAGAGGGAACUAGAUAGAAAAGAAUUCACUGAGAAAGAUUCGAAGUGGGUUAGUGUGUUCGCUAAGCCGGUAGGAAAGCGGUGGAGUAUCCAUUUUAUCCUGUCUCCAAAGGCAACCGACAUUCAAUCUGGAAAUGUACCGGAUGAACUUCAAAACCUCGACCUAGUGAAUGGUGUAAAAUGGGAGUACAACGAGAAAGACGACCGCCCAUCUUCCUAUUACUCUGUACCGGAUAGGGUAGUUAAGUGUAUCAGUGUGGAUGAUCCCCUGUGGGAUAAGCUGCACAGCUCUUCGGAGGUGCGGUGGACCCGCGAAUGGACCGUGGUCGGAGCAGAGUGGCGAAAAUAAGCCACCAUUAUUUUAGAAUUGCCCGGCGAGAGCCGGGCUUUUUCGUGGCAGGGGUUAUUUUCAAAUUAUUUUUAGAUUUCUGGGAGUUUCGGCCAAUAUGGGCAAUAUGAAAUUUCUCAGGAAAAGGCUCAGAAUGCUCGUAUAAGAGCCGUUCGAGUGUGGGCAGGGUGAGCUACUACUUAGCCGUAGAAGGACAGUGUAACGCUUAAUAGGAGGGUUAGAAUGAAGAUUGACAACGGUAGCGCGUAUGCGUAUUGGCUAGCGGAUAUGAAAGAGUUUGUUUCUCAGAUGGAUGCCACAGAGAUUGAGAAGAGGGCUUGUAUAGCAUACUUAAUUAGCUGGUAUCAGCGAAGAGUACUGCACAGAAUUAAACGGGAGGAAUACGAGGCGAUCUAAGCUAGGGACCGGACAGAUUUUUAGGGACUGGAUAGAUUUUCACAGGCUGCAAAAUUAGGAACUGGGCAGAUUUUUAGGAACUGGACAGUUUUUCACAGAAGGGGAUUUUUCUACAGAGGAAUUUCCCCUGAAAUUUAGCCGGAUUUCUCAGAAGGGCGGAUCGUUAGCAGGCUAUCUAAUUGGUUAGCAAGCUACCUUUAAUCGUUAGCACACUAACUAAAAAUUCCUAGGACGGACCUCAGUUGGCACGAACGUUGCAAGCCCGCACCAGUUUCCCGGGCAGGCGUAGGCCUCGACUAUCCGUCGUGAAGGCGAUAUGUAGUUGGGGACUCGCACCCCGCGUUUAAGAUGCGCCCAUUCUACUAUGACAAACCCCUUUGUCAACAUUCUUUUUAUGGCACGGGCUUUGCAAUUGCAAUUUACAUGCCAACCUAAAUCUCAGGCUCCCUCCGUGUUUGCCUCCGGUGCUCGGCCUCCUGCCUGCGUUGCCCGCCUGCCUGUCAUUAUACACAAGCUAUCAAGACAAGCAAGAAAAAUUAUAGAGAAAAAUCUACAUAAAACAGGUUGACAGGCCUCCUUUAUAUAUGCACAAUGACCCCACAUUCAACGGAACGGCAGGUAAGCAGCCAUGCUACAUAGUGAAGCCCGGGCGAUGGCCCUACAAGAGAUGGACAAGUGGAGCCUCCUCGAACAAGGUUGGAAAUUCAGUUUCAAUCGCAGGAUGAAACGGACGCUAGGCCGUUGUAAUCACGCUAAAAAGCUCAUAGAGUUAGGUUACAGCUACGUGGCUGCCAAUGGAGUGCCUGCGGUAUUAGAUACUAUCCGCCAUGAAAUAGCUCACGCUAAGGCGGGACCGUAUCAUGGUCAUGAUUCCGUAUGGAAAGAGUGGUGCGGCCUGAUUGGCGCUAAACCUCAGCAAUACGCCAGCACAAAAGAGAAAGUAGUCAAUUUCCCGUGGCAACUGGCGAUUCAGCAUGACUCCGGGCACUUAGAGCGGCUUAACCACUACGGUUUUAGACGGACCAACAUGGCGAAAAAGCAGGUACGCGGGCGUCCUGAGACAAAGGGCAGACUAGUUUGGGUGAAGAGUGAAAAAUAAGGGUUGACAGCUUGGGCCAUUCCCGUAGAAUGGCCCUCAAGCGAGGGGAAUCGCCCUGAGCAACCACGAAGGAAAGCAGAUAUGAAAGCUCUUUGUAAUCAUCGGGCACUCUACGCGGCUUACAAUCGUAGCGAGCUUGAUCGUAUUGCGGUAGAUUUGAACCGCUACUUCCCUAUCGAGAAAGAUGAUGAAUGGGAAGACGGCGCAUACAUGUAUCGUCGCCGCACCUAUCUGGUGAAGCAUUCGAAGGGUACAGCCCGUUGGCACAGCCUUUACUGCAAUGGGACCGUCCAAGGCGUCGGGGUUAUCUUUGACGUGAAAUCGGUCGAACCUUUCCGCACAGCAUAAGGAGAUUCAGAAAUGCAAGCUUGGAACGUAUACCAGAAUGGCCAGUUGAUCGAUACUGUUUUCUUCGAUAUCAUGUGUGCUGCCGAGGAGGUGCGGAAAUCGCUGGUCAACCAUGACGGGUAUCCGUCUGAUAUCACUGUAGAGGAGGCCGAGUAAUGGAUAACCUGUCCGUUAAAAUCGUUCUAUCGGAACUCAGCUACAAAGCCUUGAUUCAAGCCUUCGCCUUGCUUGGCCGAACGCUCGACCUAGACGAGGGGUUGGACGAUAUACUUAAUCUUAUUGCGGAUGAGAUCGCUUUCCGCGACGGCCUGCCGCCUUUCGCAGACGACUGCGAUAAAACAGAAUGGAUGCUCCGUCGAUGGGAAUCGCUCCCGGUGGUAUCGUACAAUAUCGGGCAGGACGGACCGAUUGUCGCUCGGUCUAUCGAAGUAAAAACGGCAUGAGGGGAGAACUGAUGACCGUCAGAGUAGGAGAUAUCGUGGCUAUCCGGGGUGACAUUCGGAAAAAGCUCGACGGAACAUGCCAAUACACGCCCGAACAAUUGGUAGGUGGUAAAUUCCUCAAGCAUGCCGGCACGGGAGAAAUAUGGACUGGCCGAGUGAGUAAGAUACAAGGUGAUAUGGCCAAGGUGGGAGGGGCUUGGCGCGGGAUCGAAUUCUAUGUGCUCAUUAGUGAAAUAAACGCUUGACAACCUGACCCACUAGCUGCAAAAUAGCACCCACAGACAACGAAGACGCCGAUAGGCGAGGAGAAAGCAGAUGCAAAUGUUUUUCAAAACCCGUACCCAAGCCCGCGCCAUGGCAACCAACGGUCGCAAAGUGGUAGAUAACGGGGCUCAAGCUGAAAAGCGCUGGGCUGUCAAGCUGAACAAAAAGGAGGCUAAGUAAUGGCUAAGUCUGUUAGCGUAGACCGCAAGCGAUCCAUUCUAGACGAAGCGAAGGAUGGCAGUUUCUUCAGUGUGGAGUUUAUCAAGGCGGACGGCACCGUUCGGAAAAUGACGUGUAAACGUCAGAUCAAGUCGGCGUAUGCUAACGGCCAGUUUGCUACCCGCAAGCCCACCAGCGCCGGCAAGCCGCACCUGUAUACCGCCGCCGAGGUGCUGAACAUGGAAGAGGGUAAAUCCGCUUUCCGCACUAUCAACCUUGAGACUCUGACCCGUGCCAAGGUAAACGGAAUCGAAUAUAAAUUCGAUUAAAAGCUUGACAGCUUAGGCCAUUCGUGUAGAAUGGCCCUCAAGCAAGACAACAACCUAAGAGGCUAUACAGUGAAACAAGGUACUGAUUUGAUCGCUAAAGCAAAUUUCACCGCCCGACUCCCGGGAGCUAAGCGGGGGAUUUCGGUCAAGCCGGGAGAUAAAUUCUGGGUAACUACUCCGUCCUACAGUAACACCGAUUUCGUAGGCGUAGCGAGGAAAGGCAAAACAACCUCCUACCUUUUCACUGCUAAGGAUGUACAAACUCUUUUCGAAGCAGUAUAAUCUUCAGACCCACUCAACCAACGCUUGACAAUACAGGAGAUUUAAAAUGGCACGUUCUAUCAAGGCUUCCGACUUCGAUUCCGCUUACCAGUUCGAGGCCGCCAAACGUUCCGAACGUAAAGAAUCCCGCAAAUCGCGUGACAAUCGAAAAGCUAGCCGAGGCCGCGCUUUCGACUUCCGCGACGAUAUCUAAGAUUUGCGCCUAGCCGGUGGGCCGAUUCGCCGGCAAUCCUAAGCCCAUUCGUCGAGUGGUUUUAGGAUUCUCAACCCCAGCGGAGAUACCAAAAAUGGUUCGUCAAUGCGUACCCUGUCCCGAUGCUCGCCAUGCUUUUUGCCUUGCAUGGUUGUUCGCCAUGCCGGAGUUCGCCGGUCUGCCCGCUCAAAAGGACAUAAAACUCUUUAAGACUUCGGGACAGUGGGCGGUAUGUUAUGGCUAGGCGUCAACGGCUACCGUCGUGGGUGCAGGACCAGACCGAGGAUGAUACUCCACUCCGGGAUAAGAUAGACCCGUACCUUAGCAAGCUCGGCGAAGUCGAUAAGCUAGAGGGACAAUUGCGACGGGUCAGGGAUGCAACGGACCCGGACGAAUACAACGAAAUGGCUAAGGUACUAAAAGCCCGACGCCGGAAGAUAAUGAAGCAACGUGCCCGGGCCUACGGUCUGCCAGAGGAUGAGCCUACCAAUGUCCGAGGGUACAGCGUACCGGAAGAGGUUCACCGUAGAGCCAUCCUGUUAAGCAGUGUAAAACCUUGGAUGUUCUGGACCAUCCUGUCUUUCUCGAUUUUUGUGUGGUUUGUUUUGAAAAACAGUUGACAAGGUUCCCGCCUCCUGUAGAAUGGUCAGCAAGAAAGGCGGACAGGCCGCCUAGCUAGACAAAGGACAACCAUCAUGAACUUCACUCUCAAUCUCGUUUCCAAAAACAGCAAAACCGGUCCCAUGCCUGUUAGCACGUCUCAUAACGGCACCUGCCCGGAUGCCUGCCCUCUCAAGGCUAAAGGCUGCUAUGCCGCUUAUGGGCCUACUGCUAUUCACUGGAAAAAGCUAAGCAAGGGUGAACGUGGCGUAGAGUGGAAGGAGUUUUUGAAGCAAGUGCGGUCUAUCUCCCGUGGGGAUUUGUGGCGUCAUAAUCAAGCUGGCGAUCUCGUGGGUCAGGAUGACGUUAUCGAUGGGAUCGCCCUGAUGGAACUGGUGAAGGCUAACAAAGGCCGUCGCGGCUUCACCUACACACAUUACCCGAUGAACAAUUUCAUGAACCGCCAGCACGUAUUGUCGGCCAAUCGUAGCGGCUUCACUAUCAACCUGUCGGGCAACAAUGUAGCGCACGCCGAUGAACUGGCCGACCUGAACAUCGCCCCUGUAGUGACUAUUCUCCCGAUGGACGCGGAGAAUGUAAGCUUUACGCCGAAAGGACGUAAAGUGGUAGCUUGUCCGGCUGAGAAAAGCGACAAGGUGAAUUGUAAGUCGUGCGGCUUGUGCCAAGUGGCCAACCGGGAGUAUAUUAUCGGCUUCCGUGCCCACGGCACAGCAAAGAAAACUGUCGAUCUCAUUGCUAAGGGUUAACACAAUGGACGAAUCUGUUUACGCACCAUUCAAUCAGUGUAAGAUGAUGGGCCUAGAACGAACCGUGCGGAGCCUAGCGGCUCCUAACGGGUGCAAGGUAGUCUUGUAUCAGGACCAUAAGAACAAGCAUAGAAUCGUCAUAUACGAUGCCUUAGGGCAUGGAAUGUCUGGGGUCAUGGUGCAAGCGGAUGGGGAAAUUCACUACAAGGAAACCCGCAAGGCUAGCCAAGGGCAAAACCUGACAAGGCAACUACAAGCCCAACUGACCGCAUGGGGAGUGAAGUGGUUUCCCUCUCAGUAUCAGACAACGGCAGGCGCAGCUUGCUACAAAGGAGACUGGUAAUGCGACAGCUUAAUAAAUCCCAGCUAAAGGCCUUGGGGCCUAAGAUCGAUCUAGCUCUAGAGUUAGCCGCGACUGGCCGGGGCGAUCUUAUGAACGGCCACGGUUCCACCUGCUACAUUGCAAACAAAGCUGGACACAACAUCUUGCGGAUCAGCUAUCAUAACUCCCGAUUCGUUGCAUAUGGAGCUGAGAGUGUCAGGGUGACCGGGAAUGUCAUUGCAGCAUGGGUGGAAUGGAAGGGCAUUAACCGGGCUGCAAUCGACGCUCUGAGUGAGUACGGGUAUCAUCCUAACCUGAGCAUAGGGCACAACGAUGCUCUUAAGACUCUGCGUGAUAUCGAGCGUUACCAGUGACGGCCUCUUACUCGACAGAGAAACGGGGCCAGAGGUGGGCCAUCAUCCGUACUGAGCCCGGUUAUAGAGGUGACCGGGUGACCGUGCUAGGAUUCUGUAUCAAUCAAACGCACGCUCUUAAAACGGUAGCCAAAUUCCGGGCUUGGCAAGCGCUGGGCUGGCCCUACACACUGAAAGAUGACAGAAAAUAAAUGCUUGACAGCCUAGGCCAUUCCUGUAGAAUGGCCCUCAAGCAAGACAAACCAGCCAUCAGGAGGCUAGAAAAUGGAAGCUGUAGCUCAGUUCAAAAGUGAAGAUUACGCAAGCGGUGAUAGCCGCACCGCCACCGUUUACAAAGACGUUUACGGCGCAUACGUAGUGAGUGUUUUCGGAACUAGCCUCAGCGAGCCUAUUGCUUUCCAUUGGGGACCGUUCGAGGAUAAAGAGUCGGCGGUAGACGCAGCUAAAUCGGCCAUCUAAUCCGGAGAUUACAGAAUGAAAAUUUCCGCUAUCCUGAAAAGUAACCUCGAACUUUACGGACCGAUGACUUUCAUGUGCAAUUUGAUAGAAGAUGAUCCGACCCUAGGGGAAGAGGAGGUAAUCGAGGCUAAGCGGUUUAUCGAGCGUCUGUUAGGUAAAGCCUUUACUCUUCACACUAAGUUGAAGAGUGAACUGCGGGAAUAUGACGUUGCCUUCACUGUUAACGGCGGUU